Molecule: long non-coding RNA, 64271 nt
Filed under: Populus trichocarpa (black cottonwood)
Lineage: Eukaryota; Viridiplantae; Streptophyta; Magnoliopsida; Malpighiales; Salicaceae
Description: long non-coding RNA (PTRI_LNC003628)
Source: RNAcentral
CAUUCUCUAGGUGCUUUACACUAUAGUCAUUCAUGAUCUCCACCCUUAUUAUGUUUGUGGGUCAGCCCUUUUUUUAUUCAAAUAUAUCUUCUUCACGGCUACCAAUUCAACAAUCACACAAUUGGCUCGAUUAAAUCAGCUCAUUAAUUAUAGGUAUCAACACACGAUGACACCCAAAGAAAUCUUAUAAAGGAGGAUCGCUUUAAUAUAAUUCUUUUUAUAAUGGAGAAUUAUCCAGUAAAUUUUAGACACAAAGAUUAACUCAGUUUUCCAAUAACAUCUCAAUCGACCAAAAUUCUUAUUAGUCCCUUUUUCGAUUCGCCAUUAAGGUGAUAAUUAUGUCAUUUGAUAAUCGACCACUCUAAGAGCAAAUCCAAGGGUUAUAGCUGGGUUUUCGGUGUAAUUAAUUAGUAAAGAUCAUUUGUUCUUGAUAACUUGUUUUGCUUUGUUUAUUUAUUUUCGUCCCACAGCAAAGCAAUUCCGUAGCAUGUAGGAGUUAUGAUUUAAUUAAUGCUAAACGUUCGAUUAGAAUCGCAAAGGGUACUAUAUAUUUAAACACAAUGGAGGAGACGUGUAAUGGUAUGCUUCAACAAAUACAUGCUCGAAGUGGUGUCAAAACGUACGUAUAGAGUCAAAAUUUAGAUGCACAGUCGUGAUCAAGAGAAACUUAAUUACCAGGCUCUUAAUGGACAAUUACUACUUGUUGAAAGGUACUUGAUACUUGCUGUAUUGUCUAUUUGCCAUCGAUCUCUCAAAUUCGGCCGGGAAAUUAGAACUUGUGAUAUGGUAAUUGCGCUACUUUGAAUAAAGCAAAUCCAUGAUUACAUGCAAGCUACCUCUAUUUUUUUUUUUAGUUUAACGUGGGUGUCCGGGUCAGCUUGUGCACACCUCGACUAAUCCCACGAGUCCUGAAGUUAACGACCAUGUAAGCCUCCAGUAGCCAUCAUAUGAGCAACCACAAGGCUUGAACCUGAGUUAAACCUCUAAUUUUGAUAUAUAGAAGCAUUGCAAUUAAUAUUGAAUUAAUUUCCUUUUAGAUCGAUAUAAUUUUUUUCAUGGUCCAUUUACAUUGAAUAUAGAGGACCACUUUCUUUAAUUUCUAUAUGGGAUCUCUGCCCAUCCAUAGUCUUUAAUUUCUUUUAGAUCGUUAGAUUUUUUUUUAGUGUCACAUUAAUUCUUUUCCAUAGAAGCUAAAAAAAAGAAGACGAAACAGAAAAGAAAUGGUCCAUUGGUUGAAUUUUUUAUAAGCAUAUUAAUUAGUCCAUAAACAAAGCAUGGCUGAACAUUUGUUUUCUCUUUGACCAAUGAAAAAAAAUCUGACUUCUCUCCUGUCUUUGGAAGAACAAACUAGAAUAUUUAGUCACCAUUUGUUUUUUUUAUUAUUAUAAAGUAUUUUAGAUAUAUUUUAAAAGUAUAUUUUAUAUAUCGUAUUUUUUUUAUAAUUUUGAUAUAUUAAUAUAAAAAAAUUAUUUUAAUAUAUUUUAAAAUAAAAAUUAUUUUAAACAAUUAUUUUUACUAUAAUAUCAAACAAACUUAAUUUGUCAUGUGAAUCGAUCUAGGUUUGAAGAAAACAUUCAAAUCAUAAUAAUCAAUAUACCAAAAAUAUUUUUUUCUUUAUUAAUUUCUCUUUUUAACAACCAAAUCACUGAAAAAAAAAAGUACAUUCGGAGAUUUGAGACCCUUCACACGUGGUGGGAGCUAAGACUUUUUGCUUGCAACUUUAUUUUUGAGAUUCUAUCAAGUACAACACUAAAACUCAUAUAUGAACAAAUAACCUUUAAAGACUUGCCAUAAUCUUCAUUGACUUGGAAAUUUGCAAUAUUUUUCAUUGCUGAAUAAACGAUAUCCGUCAUUGAAAGGGCAAAUUUUACCUAAAAAUUAAGUUUCCUCUCGCAUGGUGAUGCUACUAUAUAUUAUAAUCCAUACGACCUGUAUAUAUAGAUUACAGCCAUAUAUUUAUAUAUACAACUUCGAGUAUAAAAAUAUAUAGAGAGCAAGAGAAGUGACAAAAGGGUGACGAUCAUGGUGAUGAAGGUGAAUGCAAAAUUAUGUGUGUGAGAGGUCACUUUGUCCCCAUCCACUUGGAAACCUAAUAAACUAUGCUCAAUUAUUUCCUUCUUUUUCCCCCUUUGGAACCAAACACGCUUAAAUGCGGCUUUAUGUAUAUAAUUAACCAUCAUUAAUUACUUAUUUAUUCAAACUUAACAACAUGAUUAAUAAUCUCUUUGGUGGCCUAACCCAUGCAUCAUAGAGGGCAAGCCUAGAGUCAAUGGCAAUUUUGUGCAUGCCACAUGGGCAAUAUUAGCAACAGCAGCUGACAUUUCUUUCCUUUUCAUUAAGCAUGCUUUAGUGUGUCUUCAUCUGUCAUUGUUGGUUGUGGUUUUUUUUUAAAAUAUAUAUAUUAUUUUAACGUCAAUAAAAUUAAAACUUGAAAUACAAUUACAUGCGUAUAAAAAAGCAGAUUUUUUUUAACUAAUUACACAGUUUUUUCUCUAUAAUUAAAAAAAUAGCAGAAAUUACUAUAGCACCAAAUAGUAUCUUAACAUCAACAUCACCAUAUAUAUAUAUAUAUAUAUAUAUAUAUAUAUAUAUAUAUAUAAGGGAUUGGGAAUUCAAGGAUUGGUUUUCAUAAUAAAGAAUCUCAUUAUCUUACUUUAAUAAAUUAUGGUUUGGGUUUAUUAAUUAGCCACCAAAUUAAAUAUAAUGUUAAAGAUUAUAUAGGGUUUUUUUCCCCCUUAAUGCAUGAUAGAAAAGGGCCUCCAAUUGACGUGCUCUUUAUUCUAAAGCCAUGGCCACAAUUUAGUAGAUGCUGAAUUAUAUAAUGGACAACCGGGCAUUUCUUCCUCUCUGAUGUUUGAUAUAAUGUCCUGGUCUUCCAGAAGCAGUUGACUCUCGUUUAGAAUAAGAUUAAAAUUAGUAGAAAAUCGUACUCAUUAAGAAAUAUAUAAGAGUCUUAAGCAUUAUUGGGCCAUGAGAUCACAAUAUAUUUUUUUAUUUUUUUAUUCUAAGAAUAGAUGAGGAUGGACCUCAAAUUAAGAUCUCUCUUUAAAAGGUCGUUUUUAUUAGCCUUGUUAUUGGAUAUUAGAGACUAAAUAAUUUUGUAAUAAAAUAUGUACCACUCAUAUUAAUUUGGGGAAUGGGUGGAAUUACUUGUACUUAAUUUUUUUGUAAGAAUAAAUAUUGCCAAACAGAAGAAAAAUAGAGAUGGAAGUAAAUGAUUCACUAAAAUGAUUUUUUAAAGAAUAUUCCAAUUUAGAUAGAUAUUGUUAAUGGUUGAAAAACAGAUUUUUGAUCCAAAGAUAUUAUUUGGUCUUAAGAGAGCCAAUAUAUAUAAAAUAAACUUGUCUGUGUGUCUUUCCACCUAGUGGGAAAAGACUUGAGCAAACAGUUGAAAACAACCUGCGCAGUAAUGGAUUCAUGAUAAUAUCAAAGACUAGAAUGGUAAUGUGAUGUCAGUGAGAAAAUUUCAACCAUAGACAAGUUAUCCUUUCAUAGAGACAGAGAGACACAAGUGUAAGAAAGGCAAGCUCUACGUAGCCAAUUCCAUGGAACAAUUAGCCAAGCCAUUUCAAUGUCAAAUGUGAAUCUCUGUUUUACAAUUUGCAACAACAAGAUUUUGUUAGUGUAUGUAACUGUAGCUAAUUACAUGUAAUAUUGAUUUUGUUUAUGUAAAUACAUUUAAUUUAUUAAUAAAGAUUUAUUUAUCUUUAAAACUCAUCAAAUAUUUAAUUAAAGAAUCUAAUAUUUGAUUAAUAAAUCUAGAGUAAAUAUAAGGUUCUUGAGGCAAAAGUACUUUACAAGGAAAAUUAUAAAGUUAUUAUAAUUAUGAGGUCUUUAUUGCAUCAAAACAUUGUUUCUAAAAUGUUCUUUGUCAAAACUUUAUUAAGACUGAAUAUUAAUUAGAGCUGUUGAAAUUAGUAAAUAUUAUGUUUUUUUUUUAUGAAAGGAAGCAAUUGUUUUUAGAAGUUGAGGUAUAAUAGAUACCUAGAACUAAUAUGUAAGUUUUUGUUAGAUGACAUGUAUACUGAACUGAGUCGCAUGAAAAUCCUAUAUGAAGAGAUUACUCGUAUCUAUGAAAAUACUUAUGUGACGGUUAUGUAAGUGAUCCUUAAACUUCAUACCACUAAGUUAUCUUAUAUAGAAAAUGUUAUGCUUUGAUCCUGCUAUACGUUGUCAUAAUGAAGGGUAAUAAACGAACAAAUAUUGAGUACAAUAUGAACUAUAUGAAUGUAUUUGAGUAAUCAAGAGAGGAUUCAUUACUCUAGGGUAAUUAGAAAAAAAAAUAUUUCAUUUGUUCUCAAAUAGUAUUGAUUGUAAAUCCUUGUGCAAAAUGGAAUAAGAUUUGAAAAGAGUUUCAAAUCUUAUUCAAAUAAUCAAUGACUAUGGUGUUGAGAACAAAUAUAAUUUGACAUAGUAGACACUUCAUGCUAUAAUGUUUAAAUCAGAACAUUGUAAAUGAAUAAAACUAGUCAUUUAAAGGUUGAGACAAACCACUUAUGGCUUUUCUAAUGUUUGAAAGAUCAUGACAUGUUGCUAAACAUUGUACUUGAUCUUAAAAUAUAAAUCAAUCAAUUAUUGAAAUGAUAAUAAAUUAAUUUCUUUAAUUUAUAUAAUUUUUUUUUAUUUAGGAUUAUGAUUUAUAUUUGUGCCAACUUAUUAGGGAACCUAAUGGGUCAUACACAUAAGAACCAUUGAUCAAAAAGUAAAUAUGAGAUGAUUAAUCAAGUGUGACUUAAUUGUAAAUAAAUCUUAGAAAUUAAGGACUAGAAUAUAAUUAAUACAGGGGAUAUAUAGACUUAGAAACAAUCAAGUAAGGAUUUGAUUGAAUAAAUUUCUAAAAUUAUCCUAAAAUAAUAUAUGUUAUAUUAUUUAAACGGUAAAUUGAUAUUUUUCUAUUUAUAAAAUUUUUAGAUUUUUUAUAAAUAAAAAAUUAUGUCUCUUAUUUUCUAUGAGUAGAGUACAAUAUAAAAACACCUAAAACAUAAAAAAAAAGAAUAAACACUAAAAAUUAUAGCAAACUCUCUUUUUUAAAAAAAAUUUUUAAGAGAUUUCUCAUUAUUCCUAAAAAAAAUUAUAAAUUUACUAUUUUUAUUAUAUAUGUGUGUGUGUUCCGAGAAAACUAACACAUUUCAAUAUUUCUUUAACGCGAACACGAGAGCCAAUUCUUGACCCGGUUGGAAUAAUGAUUAACGAGGAAAUAACUCUGAUGUGAUCAUUACCAAUUUAACUUGAACAAGUUGACAUUGGAUGAGAUGAUUUCGAAUAGAUUUAGAAUAUAUAGGUGACUUGCCCGCGCGCUACCACGGGAUUUCGCAACCAAUAUGUUUCGACGAUUCUAUAAUUUUAUAGCAACCAAAAACGAGGUGAGGUUUUUAGAUGAUGCAAUAAUGUCGAGGCUGCAAAGGAGCCAAAGUAACACUAAGAGCCAUUUGAAGUUCACUCAAUAACAUAAUAGCAAAAGGAAGAACUUGCAUCAAUGUUAUAUCUGCAUCGUUCAAUUCAUCCAUAACAAAAAAAACAUCACAUUAAUUUAAAAGAGAAGGAUAUAUAAGCGAAUCGCAAUAAAGGCAAACUUGACAUUGGCCGAGUAGGUGGGCGAUGCUAGACAAGUCUUGAAAAAAAAACAACCGUUGCAGGCGCUGUGUUAACAAAAUGUGCUGCUGUGUCUACAAAGCAAGCUGGCCUGCAAGUGAAGAUGAAUGUGUUUGGGGAAGAAGCAACCAGAAAGAAAAUGUAGUAAUGUGAUGGAAUAUAGCAAGGGAACAAUAGGCAUAAACAACAUUUUAUUAAAAAAGAAGUGUGUUUUUUGUUUUGUGAUAGUUGUAGCUGGACUGGAGUGGCACCAAAUGAUCAACGCACAAAUCAAAAACCCAUGUCAAAAAAGUCUGAACCUAUACAUGUAAAUGACUGGGCAGUGAAUGAGCUGACAAACUUAGGAUGAAACUGGAGCAGAAGUUCAUCAUGAACAACUAGAUAAAAGCAGUAGCAAGAUGAUGCAAAUAUUCAUUCUGAGAGAAACAAUGCAUUCAAGAAUUUGGGACAAAAAGCUAUGUGACAGAGGUAGGCAAGAACGAUGGGAAAGGAAUCAAAUAAGAGCUGGCCAGACACAAAAUCAAGAUUAGAAAUUAGCAGGCACUAGGAGGGUAGAACAACGCAAACUCAAUCCAAUAUCGAAGUUUAUAAGAAAGCAAGGUGCCAAUAGCAAACAGUACGUAGUCUGGUAGUUUUUCUGUAGGUUUCUAACAACCGAGUUUUCUAAUCAGAACUCAAUCACUUUAUAGUUCAACCAGCAGAAAAUGGCAAACAACAUAUAUUAAACACAUAAGUUGCUCGCAAUCUAAUCUAGCAUUGUAGACAAAAGUACAUAUCGGAAAAAAAGAGCAUAUUUUUGUUAUGAUAAGUGGACUAAUAGUAUACUUGUGUAAAAGUAGAGAGUUGCUCAAAACCUUUGAAGAGUUGUGGCCUCCUCGAAAAGUAGCCUCCUCCUUGUUUGUAAGGGGAAAAAAGUGUCAAGACAUGACUGGAUUGUUAAAGGAUGUGUCUGCAGCGAACCAAUGGUAACAACACAAGGUGGGGCGAUCUUCGCAACAAUUGUAGGUUUCAAUCAAGGACUUGUUCCAGAGCUUGAAGGAGCUGCUGGAUCGAUGGCUGAAACUGCUUCGCCUUGCAAUUCUUAUUGGCCAGGUAGAGCAUCGACAUCUUCAGCUAAGUUUUCAUCAAAAACCUUGGUGAUGAUGAUGUUGCAACAGUUGACUAUGGAUCGAAAAGUCCCAAACCGAAGCUGGAAAAUUUUGAUCUUGUUGAAUUGUUCAAGCAUCAUAGGUGGAAAGGUGCCUUGGUCUGUGAAUUAUUUAUCUUACAUGCAGUGGUGGGUUGCAGAAGAAAUGUGUAGUAGUCUUGCCAACCAUGACGAUGGUACUGGCCUCAUCAUUCUCAUUGAUGAUUAUGCAUGUUGAAAGAAGGAUAGUUGUGGUAUAAGAUUAAAAUAGUAAUGCAAAAUAAAAACACUUAAGAAUAAAAAGAAGAUUGAGAUCAAGCUAUAUUUUUAUUAAGUGUUUCUUUUUAAACUUUCUUAGUUAUUCUUUUUUUUUUGUGCUGCUGAAUAAUAUUGAAUUACAAGUCUUUUUAUAUAUAUAAAGUUCUAAACAAUCAAGGAAUUAAACUAAUAUAAGAAAUCUUAAUCCAAACAAGAAUUGUAUUCUAUCGACUGAACUGAUUGAUUUUUUCUCAACCAGUCGACCACUUUAUUUAAUCCAACCAGUGGAUUGGUUCCUCUGAUCUUUAGAAAAACCAAAAAUCAAGUUUAAUUUUCAACACUCUCUCUUAAACUUGAUUUCUUCAUAACUCCCAACAUAUCUCUCAUUUGUUUUAUGAAAACAUCAUUUUUUUUUAUAGCUUUGUGAAGAUGUCAGCGACUUGGUAUUGUGUCUUCAUAUACUUGACUUUAAUUUUCUUAUUUGCUAUGCAAUCUCUUAGGUAAUGAAAUCUUGUGUCAAUGUGCUUACUUUUGUCAUGAAAAACUGGAUUUUUAGCUAAGAUAAUGGUAGAUGAGUUAAAAAUUUCAGUAGGCUUCUCUUGUGGCAUUCAUAAUUCUUUCAAUAAUCUUUUUAGUCAUAUGGAAUAAUAAACACAUGAUGUAGUAGUUAUAUAUUCAGCUUCAUAUGUUGACAUAAUGACUACUAAUUGCUUUUUCGAACUCUAUGUCGAACUCUAUGUUAAUGUUUUGUCUCCCAUAUAGAAAACAAAACCCAUGGUACUCUUUCUAUCAUCCAUAUCUCCAGCCCAAUUACUAUCACUAUAACCCACAAGAUGAAAGCUAUUAGAAUAUCCAUAAAAUAAGCCAAAAUCAACAUUACCUUUGAUAUACCAAAAAAUUUGCUUCAAAGCUUUGAAGUGUGUCAUAGUUGGUGUCUCCAUAAACCUACUCACAUGUCUUACUCUAAAAAUAAUAUCCAGACUAGUGCAUAUCAAAUAUCUCAAACUCCUAACUAAACUUUUGAAUGUUGUAGAGUCUAUAUUCUCUCCUUCAUCAUUCGUUGACAUCUUUACUCCACACUCACACUCAACCAGAGUAUUUACUUUUACAUAAUUCUUCAUCUUGAAUUUCUUGAGAACCUCCCUUACAAACUUCUCUUGAUUCACAAAGAUUUCAUCUUCUCCUUAUUUGAUCUCAAUCCCUAAGAAGUAUGUCAUAAGACCAAUGUCUGUCAUCUCAAACUCCUUGAUCAUUACUUACUUGAAGUCUCUAAAUAUUUUUGGAUUAUUUUUUGUAAAGAUCAAGUCAUCCACAUACAAACAUACAAUAAUAGUAUCACUACUCUCUUUUAUCUUUACAUAGAUAGCAUAUUUGUCACACCCGGACAUCGCAGCGACCGAUUAAAAAUUUCUUGACAAAAAAAGAACAGAUAUCUGACAUAUUCUUGUUCUUUUAGGGGAAAGUAUUAUGGUCACUAGGAACUCUAACUGAUCAACAAAGAUUCUAUGGUACGAGACUGGUUACGCGAAAAGAAAGAUACUAUUACCCCUUAAAUGUCCUACCUAAGGCAAGCUACAUUGCUGGUUUUGUCUUAAAUUGCUAAGAGUUGUCUUUGUUUCAUUUUUAAGAUCAUCCUAUAAUAUUCUUGACUCUAGCGUCAGUGAAUAUUCACCUAUGAAUAUUUACAACUCUGGCGUUGGUAAAUAUUAUGCAAUCCAUAAAGUACAGGGUCGGGUUUAUGAAAAAAUAAAGAUAGUUAAGAACCUAACUGACCCGACGGGUUGACUCGGCAAUACUCGGUCAAAAACCCGAUUGCAACCCGUUGACUAUCUUUUUUUAUUUUUUUCAAAACGAUGUCGUUUUGAUUUAUAAAAAAAAUUGAGGUUAACCCGGGUGACCCGGUCAAAACCCAGGGCCCAGGUUUAAAAACACUGCUUAUAAUUUUAGAAGGAGAGGGAAAUGAAGAACAUACCUGGAGAUGAAGCCGAUGGUAACUGAGACGAAGACGUGGGCUAUUGGUCGUCAACACUCCUUUCUUCACUUCAGCUUCUCUCUGUCCAUUGUAUCUCAGCCUCCUAUGCCCCUGGUUUGCGUUUCUGUCCUCUGUUAGCGUUUCCAGGUCUUCGACGGUUUCCUCUAUUCUGCGAUGUUAUUGUUUAUGUUCUCUAGUUCUGUUUGUGUGUAUAUGCUCUCUGUGUGUCCUCCUGUGGCUUCCUUCCCCCUGUAUGUGGGUCUGUUUAUUCUCCCUUGUUCGUCCUGUUUUUCUGUCAAAAGCCCCUCGUCUGUGUGUGCCUUCUGGUUUUCUAUCCUGUGUUUGUUCCUUCAUCCUCCUGUUCGCGUCCAUCCUGUCUCUAUUGAGAAGAGAAGGUUGUUGCUGCUAUGGCGGGUGCAUGCUCACGGUGCACAGUGCUGGUUGCUGGAGCUGGAGGAGGCGCGCAGCGCUGGAAGGAGGAGCUGAAGCUGGUACUACUGUCAAGUGGUGUUUGUCGCAGUGGCGAAGAAAGGGUGGCUGGUGCAAGGCUGAUCACGGUGAGGGGAGAAGUUGGUUGCCUCUACUGUGUUUGCUGGGAGAGUAAAUUGAUUUGCAUCCCCUCUCAAGAGGUCCCGUCCUCUUCCUUCUUCAAAGAGUAAGGGUGAUGACUUCUAAGAUUUGGUUGGCCAUGGGGAAGAAAUCUUGUAUUCUUUGCAGGUAGCGGCUGAGAAGAAAGAGGGGUGGUUCUUGUAAUGGUGCUGCUGGGAUGAAUAUCAACCGGGGCUGCUGGGGGAGGCUGAGAGGAACUGAGGGUCGUUUCUAAGUUUUUUUUUUUUUUUUCUCUGGGUUUUCUUGUAAUGUCCCGCCCUUUGUGUGCAUGCACUGGGAUCCAUAUUUAUAAUGUAAAAGUCUCAUUGCCUGUGAAAAAUAAAAUCUCAAAGAAACUUAUUUUCUUCUUUGAAAUUUGAAUUUGAUUAAGAAUCAAAUUCGAAAGCAGAUAAAUAUCAUUAUCUUGAUGAUAAUGAUAGAAUGAUAAAAGCACAUUAUAAUCCCUAGUUUCUGCGUAAGUUGACAAAUCACACUUUUUAUCGAAAUAAAUCCUUGAUCUUUUAAUUUUACAUUUUAACCCUGCAAAAUUAAAUUAAAAACCAAUAAAUCAAAAUUGGGUUAUAACAAUAUUCAUGAGGGAAUUUAACAAAUUUAUUCUUUAAUAAAUAUUCAUCAAUACGACUAUACCAAGCCCUUGGGGCUUUUUUCAAUCCAAAUAUUCAUCAAUACGACUAUACCAAGCCCUUGGGGCUUUUUUCAAUCCAUACAAGACUUUGUUCAACUUUAUUACCUUGUCUUCAUGUCCCUUCACUUCAUAUCUCAUAGGUUGCUCAAUGUAGACCUUCUCUUCAAGAAAACCAUUAAGAAAGGUUGAUUUAACAUCCAUUUGAUAGAUUAUCCAUCUAUGUUGGGUAGCGGUGACAAUGAUUAAUUGAAUGGUCUCCAAUCUAGCAACUAGAGCAAAUACUUCAUCAUAGUCAAUCUCAUGCUUUUGACUAUAGCCUUAUGCCACUAACCUUGCUUUGUACCUCUCCACCUCUCCUAUAACGUUCUUGUUUUCUUUAUAGAUCCAUUUGACAUCCAUUGGUUUCUUUCCACUUAGUCUAGGAACCAAUUUUUAUGUCAUUCUUCUUAAUUGAUGCAAUUUCCUCAUCCAUAGUAAUUCUCUAUUUUUUAUCCUUUAUUACUUCCUCAAAUACUAUAAGAUCACAUGUAGCAAGGUGACAAUAUAGUGUUACAUAAUCAUCAAUAGGAUUAGUUACCUCAUAUAAGUCAUUAAGGCUCCUCAUAUUUCUUGGUGGACUUUGUGAAGUGCCGCUACUUGAGUUUCCACUAGAAGAAGAAUGAGAAGGAGAAGUUGAGCUCAUCAAUGUUUGUGAAGGUGUAGCUAUAGAUUCUUAAUGAUCUUCAUAUCUUUCCUCCUUUUUAUCAAGAAUCGGUAGGAAGUUAUAUUUCUUACCAUCAUCUACGUUCCAAUCCUAUGUUUCUUCUUCAUUGAACUAAACAUCUCUAUUAAUCAUUAUAUUUCCUUUAUUAGGGUUGUAAAGCUUAUAUUCUUUGGACUUUUGAUCAUAGCCCACAAAAAUCAUCUUUUUGCUCUUGUCAUCUAGCUUAGUCCUUACUUAAUCAUCUACAUGCACAUAGUCAAUGCUCCCAAAAACUUUCAAGUGGGAAACACUUGGCUUUCUUCCACUCCAUGCUUCUUGUAAAGUCAUGUCAUUCAAGUGUGUUUGGUAUUGUAGUAGCUUUUGUGGUUGUGGUAGCUUUUGUGGUUGUAGUUUGAAAAAAGUUGUUUUAUAAAAAAGUUGUUUUAGUUAAGGUUGGUUUGAUAUUUAUAUAUGUUUGGUUAAAAUUGUGGUUGAAUUUGAGGUUGAACAAAAAGUAGUUUAAUGUAUUUGGUUAAAAAAUUUCUUUUCAAAUUGAGGUUAUAUAUAUAUAUAUAUGUAUAUAUAUAUAUAUAUAUAUAUAUAUAUAUAUAUAUAUAUAUUAUUGAUGGUUUUUAAUUUAAAUAUUGUAGAUUUAACUAUUGUUAUUAUAUCAUGAAAUAAAUAAUACUUUAUAUAAAAUAUUUUUUAUUGUUCAAUUAAACUAUCUACAAUUCCAUCACGUAUGAAAUAUAUCCGAUAAGGACUAUAAUUUUCUUGGUUUCUUAAGCGCGCAACAACAUUAGGUAAAACAUAAUCAGGAACAAAAUUGGGAUUGCGAUCAAAUUCUGCAAAUGGUACGUCAUUAAAAAAACACAAUUAAAAAUAAAAAAAUUUAAUUUAAGUGUUUUUUACUGGGUCGGACCUGGUUCAAUGCAUCAUGAACAAAAAACAAAUUUCACGUGAACAGUGAAGCUCUCCACACUGAAAGCUGCAUUAUGCUGCUUUCAGUGAGCCGGUGUUUUUAACGCAGAAAUUAUUGAGGCCCAUGCACAAUGAAUUAAGUUUUCAGCCGUUACCAAACACUUGUUUUCCGUGGUUGGCUUCAAACGCAGAAGCAACCACGAAAACAAACGGUCUCUUAGUAGGACACCAAUUUGACAAAUAGAUAUAACACAAUCUACAACUUUGGUCUAAAACUUUUUAGGAAUCCUUUUGGUUUUGAGCAUGCUUGAGGAUGCUUCUAUUGUUUCUCUCCACCACACUAUUUUGUUGUGGGGAUCUAGGCACCGUUAAGAGUCUCUUUAUACCAUGACCUUCACAAAACUCAUUAAAAUCAUUAAAACAAAAUUCACCCCCUAUCCAUCCUAAGUGAUUUUAUAGAAUAAUCACUUUCCUUUUUAACUAAUGCCUUAAACUUCUUAAAAAAACUAAACACUUUAGACUUUUCUUUUAAGAUUUUUACCAAAUGAACAUGGUUUGAUAGAACCACAAACAUCGAUAUGUAUUUAUUGUAAGGGUUGACUUGCUCUUGAUGUAGACUUUAUUAGAAAGCUCUUGUGAAAUUGCUUGCCCACUAAACAUCCUUCACAUAACUAAUUUGGAUGUAUAAUGGAUGGUAAACCCUUUAAGAUCUCCUUUUAUUCCAUCAUCUUCAAGCUAUCAAAGUUUACAUGCCUAAGUCUCAUAUGUCAAAGUCAAGUCUCAUCCUUCACACACUCAUUUAGGCAUUUAGACACAUCCGUCUCUAUGUUUAGUAAGAACAUUUUAUUAUUUGUCAUGGCUACCUUUGUAUUCAUAACUCCUUUAAUGUCAAGUAAUAUCAAAGCAUGAUCUUUCAUCUUAGCUAUUUUUUACACUUUGUGUCUCCAUAGAACUGUUAAGCUCAAAACAAAUUAAGUUAUUCUAAACAUAAAACAUGUAUAAAAUACUAAGAAUAAAGUACAUAAAAGAUACAUACAUACAUAUAUAUAUAUAUACAUACAUACAUAUAUAUAUACAUACAUAACAAUGCUCUUCAUUUUCCUUUUAGGCUAGUGUUUUAGACUUUUUCUUUACAGCAAUUGUUCCUCUCUCCAACACUCAACAUGUUAUCUCAUUAAAGAUCACGAACACCAAUUAUAUUUAUUAGUGAAUGCAGAUGAAGUCGUAUUUGCUUGGACAAGGUGUUUUCCAAUUUAUUGAUGGUUCUUUGAUGUGUCCCUCUUCUCACUUGACUACUACCAAUAGCUCUUUUCUUCGAGUUAAUCCCUCUUUUCUUCAUUGGAAACAACAUGACCACCUUAUUUUGAGUGCACUCCUUUGUAAGGUUUGAAACAAGCUCCUCGAGCAUAGUAUACUUGACUGAGUGAUUAUCUUUUAUCUAUUGGAUUUCAUGCUUUAAAGGUUGAUACCUCUUUAUUCAUCUUAUCUAUGGGUAUUGAUAUAUUUUAUCUCCUUAUUUACGUCGAUGAUAUUUUGCUACAAUUCAAUCUUGCUCCACUAUUUAAUCCAGUUGCUUAGCUCAAAAUUCAAGCAAUAAAAUUUAGGAGUUGCCUAUUAUUUUUUAGGGAUUGAGGUUCACCCUACUAGUAUGAGUAUCAUGUUACGGCAAGAUAAGUAUAUUCUUGACAUAAUUCACCAAGCAGGUAUGUUUUCCUGCAAACUAGUCGACACUCCUAUUUUUGCCUUCAAACUUGAUAUGGUGUCCGAUUACAUGUUUUCUGAUCCUACAUGGUUUCGUCAAAUUAUUGAUGCUUUUUAAUAUAUAACAUUUAUGAGACCAGAUAUUUUUUUUUAUUUUUGUGAACAAAGUAUGUUAGUUGAUGCAUGUUCCUACAGAUGCGUAUUAGACUGCCGUUAAACGCAUUAUGCGUUAUCUGAAAGGUACAUUUUCUUUUGGCUUACAAAUCACCUGCAGUUCUUCAUUUACUUUACAUGAUUUACAAAUAUUGUUUGGGCUGGUAAUGUUGGUGAUUAUAAGUCAACAAGUGGUUAUUUUGUCUAUUUUAGUUAUACAUCAAUUUCUUGAAAAUCAAGCAAACAACAUACAAUUGCUUGAUCUUCGACUGAGGUUGAGUAUAAGGUUUUAGCUUACGGGGCUUCUGAGGUCCUAUGGCUUCAAUACUUAUUGACAGAUAUGCAAAUUACUCCUACUUCUUUGCAUAUGUUUAAGUGUGAUAAUUUAAUUGCCACUUUUUUGUCCGCCAAUCAUAAUUUUCAUGCUCGUAUUAAACAUGUGGAGGUUGACUACCAUUUUGUACACGAUGAGGUUGCAAAGAAAGAUAUUCAAAUUCACUUCAUUUCCUCUAGGGAUCAAUUUAUAGAUAUUCUUACCAAGCUAUUUUCCAUCGCUUCUUUUAAUCAUUUUCGAUUCAAGCUUCGAGUUGAACCCCCACCCUUAGCUUAAAGGGGUGUAUUAUAGAAAGUGUUAUUUUAUAGGGUAUGUAUUACAGUAAUUCUAUUUAUCAUGUGUAUAUGAUAAUUGUGUGUUGUAAACUCUAUAUUAACUAUUGUACACUCCCCUAUAUGUAUAAAUAAAAAAGAUUGACUAAGUAAUUAGUUAAGCCCCUAUUCUUCUUAGCUCUCAUAGUCAAACAGUUGAAUAAUAGAUACUUGUUUCUGCAGUAACCCGAAUAUGGGUGUUGUUCCUUCUGAGCUAAGAUUGAUGAAAUAAUGGAGAACCAUAUCAUGUGAUCGCAUGUUAUCAUUGAGUAAAUACGAGUCACACUUGGAAAUCUCAAGUUCUAUGGAAAUUUAACCAAAUCAUUGUCAAUUGCAAUACGAAUUAAUUAAUCUUCACCAUUUGAAUUUUAUUUAUUUUUCAGCUUACUUUGCUCAGAAAGAACGUAUUGUACGUAGUGGUGAUGAUAAACCUACUGCACAUGGUCGAACGCAGCGCGUAGGCGUCAAAAUUAAGCUUCAUGUCUUUACCGGACUGGGAAAAGAGAAGAAAAAGGCAUGAAGUAGCAGAAGCUGAGAAAACCAAUCUAGAGACACUGAAACUGAACUAAAGAAGAAAUAUUAGCCCAGUUAAAAUACUCCAAACAUUGUGUGAUUUACACAUAAGCUUAUUGGUAUUGUGUGCUUAAUAUACGUACUGAGGACUUAUGCAAGAAAUCUAUAGUCUAUACAAACAUAUACACGCCUAGUUGCCCUUUUGUGCCUUCUAAUGCACAAAGAUGAAUCACAUAAUAUAUCUUCAUGCAGUCACUAAAUAUUACUGUGAUUGGAGAUGAUAUCUACUAUUCACUUUUGCGAUAGAGUAACGGUAAGCACGAAGUAACCUCCUCUGAAAUCUUCCAAGAUUGAGCCUCACAUUUUGGUUAUCAAGAUAGAUCGACUUUGUGUAUUGCCAUCCCUUGUCAGACACGCUUCUGGGAUCUCGAAGAACAGGAUCAUUCUUAUCGUAUUUGUCAUACAAUGAACUCUCUCUUGGAAGAAUUUGGUAGCCAAUAUACUUUAAACCAAGCUUCCUUGCAGGCUCACCAUAAUAAGCAUCGGCUGCCCAUUCUGUUCCUAGAGGAAUAACUUGGAUAAAAACAGAGCCAGGCUUCAUAAACAGAAAAUGAGUCAUGGCAGCACCAUGGACACCAAUCAUAACUUCACUUGAAUUAAGUGCGCGAUAUAUCCUGGCCAGUUCUGUCGUUGGUUCAGGCCUCAUCACUUCAACUCGAAAUCCGAUUUCUUCAGCCAUCUUCACCAAUAAAUUCUCAUUAGUUAUAGCUCUAGAUCCAUUUCGAGAUAAAAUUACCAGUUUAGGUUUCUUCAAGGUGGCUUCAUGCACUUGCUUUAGGUUUUUUUUUGAUGAAUGAGCUUUCAGUUCAAGUUUUUUUUGAGCUCCUCGUUCUUCUCCUUUAAUCAUACUUUUAAUUCGAGGCCAGUAAGCUCGGUCUAGAAAAUUGCGAAAAUCAACAAUGCUUUUAUUCUCCUGCAUCAGUGAAGGAUCCACUGUGAGCUCAUCAUGGAUUCUAAGACCAGCAAUAGCUUCAGGAAAGCAAUGGGUUUUCUUGUCUCCACUAAAAUCAAUGGCAGGAUAAUCCGAAAGAAGUGAAAGAAUGUUUCCAUACUUCAUGAUCCACCAAUUAUGAUAAUCGAGAAUAACAAACACAACCUUCUUCUUGAAAUGCUGUGAUGUAAUGUACAAAGGCAAAAUCCCAUCAUUGAAUUCAUGAUAAACAUUACCGGUGUAGCCUCCAGUCGAAAAGAACACUGCCGGUACAUCAUGCAUGACAUCGCAAUGAUGGUUAAUUCUAGAAUUCUCUGUCUUUGCAAUAAGGCCUAAUUCAUCAAUUGAGUCCAUCACACUCGUUUCCCAUUUUCGAGUGUAUGGUUUGAUCUUUUCAUGAUGGAGUUCCUCAUCUUUAUCAACUAAACUCGAAACCUUGUUCAUCACAGAAUUGUUAUUUCUUGAGGUGAAGAGGAAGAUCGAAGAAGAGGCAGAAUGUGUUCUUACAUCCCCUUUCAUAACACAGACAUCAGAACGCAUACUGCUUCGGUCACAACAUAUGGUUCCUGAAUUUACCACAAAAAAAUGUGUAAAACAUUUGGGGAAACUAACAGUAAAACAUCAAUUCAUAUUACUAUACGAGCCUCCCAUUUGAGCAAACUUCACAAAAUAAAAACAAGGUAAGAAAGAGACUUUAACCCAGUAACUUUGUGUCUACUUUUUUUGUUACAGAAACUAGAUCAUUCACUCACGUUGAUUGAGUAACCACUUAAAACUCCAAAAGAAGAAAAAAGAAAAAAUCAGUUCCAUCAUUAAUUCUCCCUAACUUUCUUGGUUACGUAAUUACGUAGCCCAAGGAAAUUCUAAAUAUCAGAAAGCAAUAAACGUCAAGGCUGUUAAUUAAUACCUAGUACUGUUUGAUUCAAUAAAACUUUUUAAAAAAGAAAUAGAGGAAGAAAGGCAAAAAGAAUAGAACACCACACAAAAAAAAAAAAAAAAGAGAGUACUAACCAUUAGAAAUCGAAGAGCACAAAUAAGCUUUUGCAUUUACAUUAGUAGCAACCCCAUCACUUUCUACAUCAAAAGAAUCUGCAAAAACCAGACAAACAUGAUCAGCAAAUGCAAAGAAGAAGAAAAGAAAAAAAAGGAAGCAGAGAAAAAAUAGCCAAAACCCAUGAGAGAGAGGAGCUUACACGAAAGAGAGGAAGUAGAGGAAGAGCAAAACAAGGGAGGAGAUAAAAUAAGACAGCAAGAGAGAAGAGAAAGAAUGACAAGAGAGAAAAGCUUGGGCCUUGUCCUAUUGAAAUAACCCGAGCUUGCUGCACACAUCAAAGAUGACAACAGCACCUCCUCUUCUUCAACAUGUUGACGAUCACCUUUUUUUAACUGAUCAUGAUAUCUAUAGGAGUGCACCAUUGCCAACUAUUCUCAAAUGUAAAGCUUCUAUCUUUUUUGGAUUUAUAAAAAACUCAACGACUAAAACAAGAGAAAGAAAGAAUUUUUUUGAGUGAACAAAGUUUCUGAGCAAACCCCAGUACUUUAUUUACUUCUUUUGUUUUUUUCCAAAGGUUCUUCCUUUUCUGGGUUGUAAAAGUGUUGAACUAAAACCCAGUUUUGAACGGAGAAAAGAGAGCAGUUCAUGUAUUUGUAAAGAGAGAGAGAGAAAACAGAAGUUAGUUUCUACGUUGUCGUAAUGGUUAUGCUGUGGAGGUGUUUCUGGGGGUGUUUACGUUGCUAAAUUUGAAAGACAGAGAGAGAGGUUUUUGUCUAGUUAUGCUAAAGGAUGUUUCUAGGGACGUGUUAUUUGCGUUUAUAUUAAUUGGCAUACCAGGGAAUAGAGAGAAUGAUUGCGUGUGUGUGUGUGUGUGUGUGUGAGAGAGAGAGAGAGAGAGAGAAUUGGCAUACCAAGGAUAAGGAAUGAUAGUGUGUGUGUGUGAGAGAGAGGGAGAGAGGAAAUAGAGAGAAUGAAGGAGGAAGCGAAGGAGGAGCCAAUGAGGAACGAAGGUGUCUAAAAAGGAGGCUAUAAUAUUGAACUUUUGAAAAAAUUGAAGAACUGCAUAUGGUAUUUUGUUUUCGGCAGUCAAAUUCCGUGUGAAGAGCAAAUCAAAGAGCCGUCCUUUCUCUUUUCAGUAGUGAUUCAUCGACAAAAUGUCAUCAUACAACAUUUAUGGUGUGAUUGUGAACCCCAAAUUUGAUGAAGUUUUGUCAUCCAAGUGUGUGGUUGGUUUGUCCUCCUAGAUAUAAAUGUCGUUGUUAAUGCACCGAGUUUUUUAAUUAAAAAUAUGUUAGAUUAUUUUUACUUUUUUUAUUUUUAUUAUAGUACAUAAAAACUAUUGAUAAACAUAUAAAAAUUAUUAAUUUAAUAUUUUUGUAAGUAACAAUUAAUUUGAAAGGCAAGUUGAAGCAAAAAAAAAAACAUCAAAGACACAAAAUAUGUAUUUUAUAUCAGAGAUUAUUAGUUUAGAAAUGUAAAUAUUAAAAUCACAACAGUGAUUAACCCAAAAGAAACAUAUAUUUAAUACAUGAGGAACAAAAAAUGAAUUUAAUUGAUCCCUUCAACAACAAAUCAACCACUACCAGAAAAUUAACAAAUACAAAUAGAAAUAUCAAUGGAAUUUUUUCAUCUAUAAAUUACGGUGAAUUUUUCUGGCUGAAUAUGCCCUUACAGUAUUCAUCGAUAAACACCAAUAGAAAUAUUCUCUCGGUAUAUACUAAAGGAAUUACAGUGAGAAAAGAAUAAAUGAAAAAAAACCAAAAAAUACGAUAACGUGUCAUUUUUAUACACAAAAUUACUGAUAGAUUUAUUUCAAUAUGUCGGUAAAUUCGUCUGUAAUAUUUAAUUUAUGAUCUGACGAGCAACCCUCCUCUAUUAGUAAUGAAGAUUAGAUCACAUAUAUAUAGAUGGUACAUGUGCUCUCUCUUAUUCGUCCCAUAGUCCUGACAAAGACCUGCCUUUUCAUCCUCCUUCAGCAUCUCUAUUCUAGAUUAAUUGUAUUUAAACUUAUAAAUGUUUAUAAAUAUUUUAUUUUUAUAUUAAUUUAAUUUAAUUAUUUUUUAUUUUUGUUUAAUAGAUUUAAAAAAAUUAAAUUAUUACUGGCAAGGUUACCGGCAAACUAAGUUUAAUUAUCGGUAUAUUUCAGAAAGUUGAAAAUUAAUUACUAUAAAUGUUACUAUCAUUAUUUACUCACCGAUAGAAUUAUAAAUGGUCUGUUUGAUCGUUAUAUGUCAAAUUCACCGAGAAGAAUAUUGGCAGACAAAAAAUAUUACCGAUGGAAUUAUAUACAGUUUUUUUGUCGGUGAUAUGUUAUAUUCAUCAAUAGAAAUAUCAAUGGAUAAAGCGGGUAAAAAUUUUUUUGCACGCUUUUGCCGUCAGUAAAUCCAUCAGUAAAAUUAUUACCGAUGAACUCACCGAUAGACCACAAAUCACUUACAAGAGUUUCUCCGGCGGAGUAUUGUCAUCCCAUCCGUGAGCCCAUCAGAAAAAUUUGUGCCCAUGAUAUUUCGUCAGUAAAUCUAAAAAAUUUGAUAGUCAACAAUAUCACUCUUAGCAUUUUUAUUAACUUUUUUUUGUUAAUUAAUCAUAAAAAAAAAAUGGACAGUUAGGUUGACACUGAUAUGUUUUUUGAUGUUACACUUCAAUUUAUAUUAAUAUCUUACGUGAGAUUAUUCCAUUAAUUAUAGAUCAUCAGAUUUAUGGAAGAAAAAAAAAAAAAAAAAGGUUGUUGUCAAGAAGUAUGUUGUCAGCCAACCCUUUUCCCUUGUUUCUCUGGUUGGCUUUGCCUAUCUCUAUUAAGUGGAAUUGGAUUCCAAUAUUUAGUUGGUAUUUGGAAUAUUACGAGCGGUUGUUUUUAUUUUCAUUUAGAAUACAUAAAAGAUGAUAUAUUUUAUAUAUUUUAAAAAAUAUAAAAAAAACUUUUUUCUUUUAAAAAUUCAAUUUUAAUAUCAAAAAUCCAAAACAUAAAAAACUUUCAUAAAAAACUUUCAAACAAAAAUGAAGUUCAAAAUUUUUGAAAACUCCAAUCACUUUCUCAAACACUUUUUUUGUUAUUUAUUUUUACAGUAAAAAUGUUAUUUUUAAAAAAAAGUUAAAUUUUUUUAUUUAAAAUUAAAUUUUUUAUUAUUAUUUUAAUGUUCUUGAUUUUUUUAGAGGCUAGUUGGGAAACUGAUCCCUGAAAUCUUAACAAUUUCUUAAGAUGGUCCAGAAAGCAUGUCGACAGAAAAAGUGGACAGGUGUCUAGUACAUGUCAGAUCAAGAAUUAAUAGUAAAUUAAUCAUCUAGGUGGUGGCCCAGUGAUAAGAGCUUGGGAUCAAGAGGUUUGCUCCCUCUGUGGUCUCAGGUUCGAGCCCUGUGGUUGCUCAUAUGAUGGCCACUGGAGGUUUACAUGGUCGUUAACUUCAGGACCCGUGGGAUUAGUUGAGGUGCGCGCAAGCUGGCCCGGACACCCACGUUAAACUAAAAAAAGAAUUAAUAGUAAAUUGAAUGAAAAAUGAACAUUAUUAAACGAAAAUCAUUAGCAAAGUAAAUUAAUUAAACGAAGAUCAGGCCCCUUUUUUAUUUUUCAACUCAAAUAAAUAAAGACACAGAAAACUUGCUACUUUAAAACGUUAGUUCAAUCAAACAUAACGCACUACCUUUGCCUAAUCCUUAAAAACUAAUAUAGCUAAUCAAGCCCCGUCAAGAAAAUUUCAACGGACAAGAUUAUAUUUCUUAGGCCUAAAUCCACCCCUAGAACAUGAUCUGAUUUCAUUUAUUAACAACUUUCAUUUUUAUUCAUGUUUAGUUUAAUUUUUUUAAGUUUUUGCGUUUAGUUAAAAAUGAAAUAAAAAUCUAUAAUUAAAAAAUCAACACUACCAGAAAUUACAGACGGCAUAUUCAGAAUUAAAAAAAAAAAGCGGUUCGCUAACGUGGAAGUUUUGGCGGACGAUUUUACCGAUGGAACACCGAGGGAUUCAAACCGGGAUCUCCGUACAGUGACGUGACCAAUUCACCAUCAGAAUUGCAGCGCUAGAUAAGUAAUAGAAACUAAAGGUAUGAUGGAGCCAAUAUUUCAUGACGGAAAAAAAAAGUUGUGUUGGUGAUCAAAAACUUAGAGACUGAAUAAAAUGAUUUGUAGCAAUCCACACUGUUUUGUGAGGAAAAAUAUAGUGCUUUCGCCACAUGAUUUAGCUUUUCUGUUAAUAAAAAGGAAAAAAAAUACAAAACUAAAUUCUCUACCAACUUAAUAUAAAAAAAAUCGACAAAAAUAAUUUUGGAAGGAAAAAAACCCGUAAGGAAAAACAUUAUAGCAAUUGACAAUGUUUUGUGAGGAAAACUACAGUGUUUUCCCCAAUACAAUCGACAAAGAUAAUUUUAGAAAUAAUCAUAAAAAAACCAUUUAGAGAAAUACUGUAGCAAUCUACAGUGUUUUGUGAGGAAAACAACAACGCUUUCCCCAUAUAAUUUAGUUUUAUUGUAAUUAUAAUUUUUAACCAACUCGAUAUUCAAAAAAAAUUGACAAAGAUAAUUUUGGAAAAAAAUCAUAAAAAAAUCAUGUGGGAAAACACUGCAGCAAUUCACAGUGUUUUAAAGAAAAAAAUUACAAAGCGAAAUUCUCAAUCAGCUCAAUAUUAAAAAAAAAUCGACAGAGAUAAUUUUUGAAAAAAAACACAAAAAAAACAAGGACAAAAAAACCAUGCUAGAAACACUGUAGCAAUUCACAGUGCUUUGUGAUGAAACCUACAGUGCUUCCCCACAUGAUUUAGCCUUAUUUGUAAUGACUUAUAAUUGUAAUUCUCAACCAGUUCAAUAUUAAAAAAAUAAAAUUGACAUAGACAAUUUUGAAAAAAUCAUAAGAAAAAAAAAACUAUAUGGAGAGACACUAUAGCAAUCCACAAUGUUUUGUGAGUAAAGCUAUAGUGCUUUCCCCACAUGAUUAAGUUUUAUUACAAAGUUAAAUUCUAACCAGCUCAAUAUUAAAAAAAUAACAUCGAUAAAUAUAAUUUUGAAAAAAAAUAUUACAAAAAAAGAAAACACAAAAGAAACUGGAAAAAAACUAUGUGAGGAAAAACUAUAUCAAUUUAUAGUGUUUUGUGAGGAAAGUUAAAAUGUUUUCCUCACAUGAUUUAACCUUACUUGUAUUUACUUGUAAUUGUAAUUCUUAACCAGCUUAAUAUUAAAAAAAUAAAAUUAACAAAGAUAAUUUUAGAAAAAAAACAUAAAAAAACAAAAAAAAAACUUUAUGGGAAAAAAUAUUGUAUCAAUCCAUAGUAAUUUGCGAUGCAAUGUACAGUGUUUCCCUCACAUAUUGUAACUGUAAUUUUUAACUAGUUCAAUAUUAAAAAAUCAAAUCGUAAAAGAUAAUUUUGGAGAAAAUCAUAAAAAAAAAUAAUUGCGAGGAAAGGUAUAGUGCUUCCCUCACAUAUUGUAACCAUAGUUUUGAAACCCAACCCGGUCAUUGACCCGGUCUAGUGAUCGGGUCACGCGUCAGAUGGGUUGACAAAAAAAAAAACAGCGAGAAAGUAGAAUGGAAUAAAAGUAACGGAUUUGAAACGCCAUCUUCAAAUUCAAUAAAUGGAAGAACAAAUGACAUCAACAUCUGUGUCGUUGAUUACUUAUAAAUUUCAUGGAAAAUCCUCACUUUAUGGCCAAGAAUCCUUUCAAAAUUUUACAUUUUGGUGACCUUUUCACCUUAUCUUAAAGAAAAGAGAAACAGAAGAGGAUUGGUUUGUGGGUCUAACAUGUCCAUCGACACCGAUUCGCCUCGUUCUCUGCUGAUAUGUAGGGCUAAACGUGUAGAGGCAGAGCUGUAAAUCAAAAUUGAAAGAGAGGUAAGUAGCUUUGUAUUCCUCAAGCUUCAUUUCCGUUGUUUGAAUCCACAUGCAGAAUGUUAAAACAUUUCCACACAAACAACACUAUUUUCUCGAAAACCUUUCUUUAUUAUCAUCUCUUAGACAUAUCUCAUCAGGCAAAAGCAAUGGAAAUGCAAAUCAACACUCAUUUACAGUUUCUUACCUCGUUAACAAUAGCUCAUCUAACCUUAUUCUUGGAUUUGAAACAGCGAUCAAGAAUUCAAGGGUCUUCUGCUCCUCUGCUCUUCUUCGCGACUGAAAUGGGUUUGAAGAUUUCUUGAAUUAGGUUUGAAAUCAAUUGGGUCUUCUACACUGUGUUCGUUCCUCUGCUCUUCUUGUUUUGGAAUUUGGCAUUUUAAUUGUAAAAGUUGAAAACGACAUCAUUUCGGUCAUGAAUAUAUAUAUAUAUAUAUAUAUAUAUAUAUAUAUAUAUAUAUAUAUAUAUAUAUAAACCCAGGUCUCAACCGGGUUUGCCCGGGUCGGCCGGGUCCCGGGUCGACCCGCCGGGUCGACCGGGUCUCACCGGGCCAAUUCCCAGCCUGUUUUUUGCUUAGACCUGGCCCGGGUCGACCCGCCGGGCCGGGUUUCAAAACUAUGAUUGUAAUUGUAAUUUUUAACCAGUUCAAUAUUAAAAAAUAAAAUAAAAAAAGAUAAUUUUGGAGAAAAUCAUAAAAAAAAAACAUGUAGAGAAACACCGUAGCAAUCCAUAGUAUUUUAAAAGAAAAAAAAUUAUAAAUCAAAAUUUUUAACUAGCUUAAUAUUAAAAAAGUAAAAUUGACAAAGAUAAUUUUGGAAAAAAAAAGGGAAAAAAAUAUAAAGAACAAAAAAUAUAAAGUGAGAAAAACGAAAAAGUGAGAAAAAAAAAAUGAAAAAAGGGAAAAAAAUAAAAAAGUGCAAAAAAAAGAUGAAAAAAUAUAAAAAAGUAAAAAAUUGCACUAUAAAUUAUUGUUGUAAUCCUUAGAUGUGCGUGAACAAUAAAUUCUUCACGCCUUUUAACUUAUUACUUAAUUUGUGAAAAAAACUUAGACCUAUCUAGCAGAAUCAUGCUGUCUGCUUGUUUGGAGCUUCAAGGCUUUUGUAUUAAAUGUCAAUAGAAAAAAGUGUUGACCUAUUGGUUGUCAUUUCAAAACUAUUUUCACAUAAGAAUUUGUGUAAUGAAUUUUUAAGCUCUUGAAUAUUCUGUAAAAUAAAAACAUUUUAAUGAAAUAUAUUAUUAUAUUUAUUAUUAUUAUUAUUAUUAUUAUUAUAACCACAGCUAUAUUAAACGGAUCCUAGUUCAAAAGAUGGAGCUUUUAAAUUUUGAAGUUUUAACAUUUGAAUAUGUACACAAGCACUUCAAGUUAUAAACAUUGAAAAUCAUGCCGUCCAACCAAUUCUUUAAUUAAUCUCAUACUCUUGGUCCAAGUUUUUUAAAAAAUAUUAAUUUAAUUUGAUUGCAUGAAACCUAGCUCAAAAAUAUCAUUUAAAUUAUAAGAAAAGAAUUUACAAUAACUUUAAGACAGCGGCUAAUUGUUAAUAACUUUUGGGUCACUUGACUAUUUCGCAAUCUUUCUGCGGGGUUUCGAAGAUUUGAAGCUUGGGGAAUGCUAGACCCACGGCUGCGUCAAGAGCGUGACCAGAACGGUCCAAAACCUGUGUCCAGAAUGGCGAUUCCCUUGUAUGACUUUUACCCAUUAAUCCGAGCUCGAGUAUGCCGUGUCUGGGUUUCGAAACAGAACGGAAAAGUCAACAGCUUCAAUUGCCGGUUUGUUGCUCAUCAGGAAGGUUAUGGCUAUACUUAUUAUUAAACCUAUUAAUGUAUUAUUCAAUUAUGCUUUACCAUGUAAACUUAAUCUUGCGAUUUCAUAUUACUCAUUAAAUCAUUUCAUCCAUCCACACAUGUUGAUAACUGUUGCACAUGGCCAUGCGGUGUAGGGUACAAGAAAUCAUCAUGUAGUUAUUUGGUUUAAGAUCAUUAAAAAAAACUCGAGUGUAUUAAUUUUAUAAUAGAUUCUAAGAGUAAGGGGUUAAUUGUAGCUAAGAAAAGUACUGUCACUCAUAAUGCACCUUAUGGCUUAGGGUGGUCAAUUUAUGUGUGUGGUCUGAAAAUAAUUUAGAGGUUUUGAUAGAUUUUUAACCGGUGGUCAAUUUAUGGCUUAGGGUGAAGAUUAAUUCGCGUGAAUAAAUCUGGCUUUUCAAACUCAUUAUGGGUUGUGUGCUCAAAUGAAUUUCUAUGAAAAUGAUUCAUGUAGAUACCCUGACAUGAUUUAUCUAUCCUAGAAAACAAAAGAGUUUUUCACAACUCUUGUGUUUUGGUAAAAAAUACUUGCAAUUAAAAAUUGAUGAAUAUUUAAAAUAAUUCUAAUAAUUUUUUGAUCAAAUUCUGAUAUUUAGAUACCAGCGAUUAUGGCUUUACCUGUUAUUAAACCUAUUAAUGUAUUAUUCAGUUAUGCUUUACUAUGUAAACUUGAUCCUGCCAUUUCAUAUUACUCAUCAUAUCAUUUCAUCCAUCCACACAUUUUGAUCACCAAAUCCUUUUCCUUUCUCUUUUUUUCAUAUAUUAAUUGCUAUUUCUUUUAUUAACUGCCAACUACUGUUCCUGCAAGAUUGACACUAGCAAUUCCUUUUCCCUAUUUAACGAGCAAGAGUGAAUCAAGGAUAGUCUAAAAAAGUACAUAAUGGCACGUGCCAAUCAUACUCCCAACAUUUCCACACAUCAAAAUAUUUCUUUCAAAUCUUCAAUCUAUUAACAUUACACAGUUUGUGAUCAUUUGCUGCAUUUAUACAUUCCAUUCAUUUGAAACAUUUAAUGCAUUUAUUAUUUGAGUGUUCAUUGGAACUCCAUAUACAGCCUUAGGUUGAUAUUCGUUGGAACUCCAUUAGCACAUGUUGUUGAAUGCUCAACACUCCACCACUACAUCAAUUUCUAUUGCUGUUUAUAUAUGGUUGAAAAAACACUUUUGAUCCCCUUCUUCAUAUAUUUUUUUGUUUUAAAUUUUUUAAAUGACAACAUCAACACCAACUCGAUGAAAAAAGUAAAUCAAUGAUUUUGAAAUCAAUGCGUUGAAAAUAAAUUUUUGAAUUUUUAAUUUUUUUAAAAAGACGUUGAAAAUGCCAAAAACGACACAAAUAUGUCAAAAAUAUAUUUUCUUGGAUUUUUUAAUUGUUUUUUUUGCUAUAUUAUGGAUUUUUCAAAAAAAAUAAAAAAUCAAGUAAUGACAUAACUUAAAACUCACGUCAUAAUUUAUAUCUCUAGAAUUUUAUUUUAAAAAAAAAGCACAGGAUUUUAAUUUUUAUGACUGAUUUGUUUUCAUUUAAUCCUUCAAUAUUUUACCAUUUCUUGCACAUGCCAGAUUAUUUUUUCUUCUUUUAUUUUUUUUCUCUUCAUUUGACAUCUUUUUUAAGGAUGCAACUACACUUCAUAUAUAUGAUUUUUUUUCCUUAGAUAUUUUUUUUAUACGAACUGCGGUGAAGCACAUGUGAUGUAGCGAGUCCAAAUACAUUUAUUUUUUUUUUUUUUUUUCAAUUCAAGUCAAAAACAGUAAAACUCGCUUACAUCCACGCCACACCUCAAAUGAAAUAUAAAACGCAAAGAACGUAUAGCCUGUUUUAGCUAAAACCUUCACCAAGAAGGAAAAGGAACGUAACAAGACCCAAAGGCUACAACCCACAUGUCAAUGAAUAGACGUUUCCCCUGCUUUUUUUUAUUUUAGAAUGUUCUAAAAAUGAAAAUAUAAAAUUAAAUUCAAUGGAUCUUGGAUAACAUACUCUUCUUUCUUCCAUGCGUAUGGUAUCAUAUUAAGAUUACUCUUUAGAUUUUUUAUAAUUAUGAGGAGGCUGUAUUUAUUUAUGGUGAGAUGGCUGCCAGCUGCGUCAAUUUUUUUAUUCGUGGAAGACAAACCGGUGGCCAAGUACGUAACACUCUCUAUAAUGCCAACCAUAUAUCUAAAACACGAAUUUUCUUUGGGAAUAUAAUUUUGAUGAUCCCGAAUUAAGUUCUUACAGAACACAUCUCUCAAAGUGAUGUGAUUUAUUAAAUUAAUCAGUGGUUAUAUCAUCAUCAUCAUCAUUUAACAUGUUUCUUGUCUCUGGUUGAAUUAUGCCAUACCCUUUCCCUGAUGCUAACCAAUCCAUUUAGUUUCGUGUGGAUAUAUACCAUAAGCCCUUCGAUAUUCUUAAUCAUACUUAAUUCGUCUUAGGACAUAAGAUUUUUUUAUUUAUUUUUUAUUUUUUAUUUUUCAGUUAACGGGUUUCUAGACGUUGGACUAUACCACCAUACCUAAAAUCCAUCAACCUUUUUCAAGAUCUGAACAUGAGAUUCUUAAAUAUGAAAUCCCGAUGCCUAGAUUAAUUAUCCAAUUGGAAACAAGGCUUAAUAGGUGGAGAGAUUUUAUAAAGGUGUCCGGUCUCCUCCUUUUUUCUAACUUUUCGCUCUAUUCCAUGACAUGAAAUGAUAAAAGCUCAUGGGAAAACCUUAAAAAUAAGUUUUCUUGAUUAGUUAGUUGCCACAUUCUAAUUCUUUAAUUUAUCUUAAUUGGGUUUUAAGAGAUUCAGAAAAUUUCUUAGUUGAGCCCUCUUGUACAGAGUAAACGUUUAUCCUGGCAAAUUAAUGAUCGAUUAUGAUAUAUAUCAGCUAGCUAAUUUGGAUGGCAUCACUCAUAGAGGGAUAUGUUCCGUAAGAAUUCAACUUUUUUUUUUUUUGUUAACGUGGGUGUCCGGGUCAGCUUGCGUGUACCUCGACUAAUUCCACGGGUUCUAAAGUUAACGACCAUGUAAGCCUCUAGUGGUCAUUAUAUUAACAACCAUAGGGCUCGAACCUGAAACCACAGGGGAAGCAAACCUUCUAAUCCCAAGCUAUUAUCAUUAGGCCACAUACUAGACGGUUAUAAGAAUUCAUCUCGAUAAUUAGGAAAUAUACUUCGUUGUUUGAUUUUUUGGCUCUAAACUUUGAGAAUAAUACAUAAAGAAAUUAUUAAGUUUUUAUGGGUGCAUGCACCAAAUGAUUCGAAGGGUGCAUCCUUGCCAUCAUUCGGGAAAAAAAAUAAUCUUGGUUCAAAACUAUUUGCUAUUGAAAUUAAAAAAAAAGGGGGGGGGGGGGGGCAAAAUCCUAAUCUGCAUAAUUCAAUACUGUGAUUGGUUAGUUAACUUGUGUCCUAAUAUAUAGCACAUGUUAAAAGAACCUUCCCCAUAAAAGAAAGUAUUAGGGGAACUGAUAAGCUAAGCUAAGGCCUACGUACGAGUCAACGAAUUGAGUAGAUGUACGUUUGUUUUGGUUAUUUUGUUUAUUUAAAAAAAUAAAAAAUAAAUAUCUUCAGAGCCCAUUGAAAUCAUUUUCUUGUAUAUUCCAUGUGUAUGGUACUAUUCAUUAUCGUUUUCUCGAGUAAUAGUUUAAUUUGAAGGUACAACAUGAUGCUGUUUAAUUUAUCGGUCAACCACCUAAAACAUCAGUUCUCUUCCGGGGAAAGUGAUUUUUUAUGUAAUUUUAUAUUGAAUUUUCACCGAACAUAUCUUUAUGUCAUUUAAAUUAGCUGUUAUAUAUAUAUAUAUAUAUAAUGGGUUGAUUAAGAAAAAUAUAAAUAAGAAAAAUCAGAACAUCAAUCAACUAAAACAUAUUUUUUUUCCUUUAAUUACUUUAUUUUUCAUGUGAAUAAUAUUUGAGGAAAUGAAGAUAAACCAAUAUUUGGACAAGCUCGUACGUAGUAAACAAACAUGGAUGGUAAUUAAUACUUGCUCAGAGUUUUUUUUUUCUUUUUGUUUAUCAAAGAUAAUUUAUAUUUUUUCAUCUUGUUUCCUGCAAUUUUUAACAUGUUAUUCCAGAUUAGCUUAAUUACUUCUUUUGCAUACAUGUGUUCGUUUUUUUUUUUGAAAUUAAAAAAAAAGAAGAGGCAGACUGGACAUAAGAGUUAUAGUAGAUGAGAAUCCACUGGAUAAAUGCAAGUAAAAAAAAAAAAAAAUUCUUGGGAUCCAAUAAAAAGGGUAAGCUACAAAAGGCAAGCAAAUUAGGCGAUACUCAAGGCUUUGAGACCUAUAUUGGAGGCCACGUAUCGCAGUUUGCAAGCGGUGAUUUGCAUGGUUACUCUACACUUUCUAGAUAAUCUCUACACUUUUUCUUGGGAUAUUUCCAAACUUUAUUACAAGAAUCAAGGUAUAGUGUUCAUUAAUUUUAAUAUUAUUUUUUAUUCAAUUCUUUUGAAUAAUAGAUCAUAUUGAACUUUCAUUCUUAUUCAAUAUCACCAUAAAUACGAUAAUCAAUGUAAAAGUUUAUGUCAAACUAUGCUUAAGAGGGUGUGAAGUCAAAUUUUAAAAUCCCAAGCACGCCUUGAAUUAAUAAGAUCAGGGAGAUGGGUUUAAUUUUAACAUACGAAUUGGCAUAACCAUAAUUCCACUAAACUAAACUAUUAUUUAAUCUCUGUGUUCUUAGCAAACUAAUCAAUUAUUAAUUUAAAAAACUAAUAUUCAAUCCUUGUAUUUUAUAUGUAUUUGUAACUUAAUCCUUUUAGUUUUUUAUGGCAAUUCAAUUGCUGUUUUUCCUAUAUUUUUCUUCAGGUCAAGAUUUUCAAUUUCAACCACUAUAAACAAAAUGAAAAAUAUAUUAAAGAAAAUUAGACAUUUAAAAAGAAUUAACAAUCAAACUCUAACCAAGGGACUAACUAACUAUAGUUUUUUAAAAACACAAGGACUAGCCUACAAAAUCAUAUAAAAAAAAGCACAAGGACUAAAUCAUAAUUUACUCAAUUCCAUUCUCCUGUAGCACUGUUCAUUUUCUUUUCUUUAGAACGAAGAUUGUAAAUUUCUAUAGCUCAUGCCAACUCACAUCCGCCAUGUGAGAAGACCCAAUAGCAAUCCUAAGACUACCUUUCCCUUCUCUUGCAAAUUUGUUCAAUCAAUAAAAGAUAUCCCCACACCUCCAAGCUUUGGAGUGCUUGGUAGUGGAUUUCUUGUAUGUUUAGUAAAUUGGUUGAAAUUAAUUUUUUUAAAAGGAUUCUUCAUAUUAAAAGCAUUAAAUUGAUAUUAUUUUAGAUGAAUUUUAAUUAUUUUAAUAUUCUUAUAUCAAAAUCAUCUUAAAACACCUUGAUAAUUAUCAAUUUGAUAUUUUUCAAAAACUACAAAAAUCCUUUGCUUGUCUCAUGGAAUUGCCAUGACUUGCUACUUGCUUUGCCCUUGUCCUGUCAACCGUUCACAAUGCCUCUCUACAAUUCCAACCACAACCUUAAAAUCCUUGGAAGUCCAAGUAUUAGUUAUUGUCAGAAUUGGUCGAAUUGGGAAUCAUCUUCAUGACUUGUCACAUAGCCUCAAGUUGGCAAUAGAUGUGAUCCAUCUUGAUUUUGAAAGGCAUUAUACUUAUCUGUGUAGUACUUUUUCUUUGUUAUUUAUGGAUGUAUUAAUAAUAUAUUACUUUGUAUAUUUUUUAAUAAUUGCAGACGACUUAUUUUAAAAUUAAUUAGAAUGUGCUUACUAAGGUUACCCUUUUCGUUAAAACUAUAUAUAUUACAUGUAGAAAUCAUCAACUGAGCUUUCGGAUUUUUCGUGUUUUUUACAAUAAUUUUAAGGCAGCAUAUACGAGAAUUCCUUGAGAAAAUAGUUCAUAAAGGAAAAAGAAAAAGAAUCUAGUCAUUUUUUGGACUGGACAGAUAUAAUAAAGUAAGAAGAUACUUUAGGCACCGUAUAAAAUUAUCCAUUCAAAAUUUUCUUCACAUGGACCACCUUGAGAUGACAAUUUCGUGAAAGAGAAGGAGAGAAAAAUGUACAUGGCAUUUUGUGACAUGAAUUUGUAUGUGCGUGUAGUAAGGAGUACUCCUGAUCCUUUGAUGACAAAUAAGAUUCUAUAUAUAUAUAUAUAUAUAUAUAUAUAUAUAUAUAUGUCAAUCACUAGGGGACCAAGGCAGGUCAAAUUCAUUUGAUUUUUUUAGCUAAAAAAGAAUGUAUAUAUUUUCCUACUUCUCUUAUAAUUAGCUAAAAAUAACCCCUUGAUAUAUAACCAUGGAUUGCCGAACAUUGCCUCCGAUGUUUUUGCUUAAAUGGGAAGAACUGGACAACUUAGUUUGGUGCUUCUUUCGGUGGGCCUGGUAGAGAAUGAGAGCCAUGCCAUGAUCUCAUGCACCCAAACAAUUUCUCAGCAGCAUGUAUCCAUAUAUAUGAGCUUAUAGUUAUGGUGGUCAUCACUUAUUUCAAGAACCCUAAUCGAAUGAAGAGAGUUUUUUGGAUCCACACCCUUACAUUUGGCAGCAUAAUUGUAGUUUGGUGUUUUGGAUGGAAAUUAUAUAUGGAUAUGCAGAUAAUAAAAUAUUACAUUGUUGAAUGAAUAACAUUAUUCACCUUCGAAAAAUUGCUAUAUAAACCUAAUUUAUUAACAGAACGCAGCUCCAGCCCUUGAGUCUUCUAGUUCUACGUGGAUUAAAAAAAUGAUGAGGCAAUCUUAAAGCUAUACUUUGAAUCAAAUUUCAUAUAUGUUCAUGUUUGAUAUUGGAGAUCAUUGAUUAGUAAUAUCAUAUAUGAUGAAAGAAAGAAUAUCAGAAGAACUUCGUUGAACCAGAACUUUUUUCGCGGAUAAUUUUGGGCUGGAAGAUGAUUGUUUCCUGCAAAAUAACAGAGGAAUAGGCAACAGCAGCUUCAGAUGGAAGUUCGUUAUAUGCAUCCGUUAGGUUGGUGUCGGGGGGGAAACUAAGCCCAACCUUGUAAAAGAUGUAAGCACCCAGGCUUGAGUGCAAUUGGGCCUUAAUAAUACUCUUCAUUACUGUUGUGGGUUCCUGGCUUAUAGAUAAAAAACAACCGAUGGCUUUUCUUCCAUUUUGUUUUUUUUUUUUUUUUAGAGUGAAGACUGCUGUGAGGCUAUAAUAAUUAACUAGUCUAUUACCCCCUUUCUACCGUGAUCAGAUUAAUUUUUUUAAAAUAUAUAAAAAAAAAUAUAAAGAGCCCGAAUAGUUUUUUUUAUCAUGUCAUUAAACAUAGUUGAGUGAGUUAAUUUUAAAAUUUUUAUCUAAUUUAAAUUUUUAAUUAAACUACAUUGAAUCUAAUAUGAUUUAAAUUGAUCAAUUUUAUGGAUCUAAAAAUAAUUUAGAUAACCAGUAAAAACAUAGCUUAUUUUUUUAAAAAAAACUUGAAAAUAAUAACUUUAAAAAAAAUAUUAAGACAAUGAUAUAUUAGAUCAAACUCAGUCCUCUUGACCAGGUCAUGGAAUUUAUUGAAUUUAAUAACAUGUUUUAGAAUUAUUUUUUUAAUUAUAUUAUAAAAAUAAAUGCUCCUAAAAUCCCUAAUUCUUUUUCUACCUAUGUUAUUUGGCUAAUAUUGUUUUUAAAAUAGUGCUUAUAAGAAACAACACCCCUAAAAAACUUUUAGAUAUUAAGUUGAUACUAAAGUAUAAUAUAAUUUUAUUAUUUAAAAUAAUUAAAACUUUGGGGGAUGGAGUUUGACACUAAAGCAAAAAUGCAGUCUUUUUUCUUUUCUUUACCAUUUAUGAGCCGGAUUUUUUAGAAUUUUGGUCCUUAGAUUGUUUUUUAGUCCUUUAAUUUUUUAAAUUUUAAUUUUAAUCUAAAUUUUAUUUUGAUUACUUCUGAUAUCCCAAUUUUGGUCCAAGAUAUCCCAAUAUAGAAAAAAAAAAUUCUUAAUCACCAAGACCUUUUUAAAUAAAAAGAAUUUAUAUUUCUUACCUUGAAAUCUAGAAAAUAGAAUAAAAUUUCAAUUUGUUAAGGUCAAUUUAUUUCACUUUUUUUCUCUGCACUUAUAAAAAAACAAGUGAUUCUCAGGAUUUGUUUUUUUAAAUUAUCUUGAAGAUUAUAAAACUAGGGUAAAUAAAAUUUUUACCAUUUUUUCUUUUAUAUUAAUAUAGGACUACAUGUGCUAAUAUUUGUUUUUCUAAUUAGUCCAAAAUAAAUUAUACUCUAGCACAAGAAACUAAUAAAAUUAUACCAAAAAGAUUUUGGUAUUGCAAGCAUGGUCAAAUAUAUUUAGAAAAAAACUAAUAAAUUCUUCUAUAUAUUUACCCAAAUUUGAACUUAAAAAAAAAUAAAAUUCUUUAACUAUCAAAAUAAUAUUAUAUUAAUGUAAGACCACGUCAACUGAACUAAAUGGUAAAAACAAAAACAAACCCUCUUGUUUCUAGAGCUAAGCAAGAGACAUCUAAUAAAUAUGUCUACCAAACAUACCCCAAAGUCAUAGACCUCUUAACUCACAGCAAUCCCUUUCUCCUCUCGUUUUCCCUUCUCUCUCACCCUUCCUCGCACGGCUCAAAACCUUAGAACAAACAAGAAAUGGGGGACGCUUUCUGUUCAGAUUGUAAGAGACACACGGAGGUAGUUUUCGACCAUUCAGCAGGAGACACAGUAUGUUCAGAGUGUGGUCUUGUCUUAGAAUCUCACUCGAUCGAUGAAACAUCAGAGUGGAGAACUUUUGCGAAUGAAUCAGGAGACAAUGAUCCAGUUCGUGUUGGUGGACCAACUAAUCCUUUAUUAACAGAUGGUGGUCUUUCUACUGUUAUUGCUAAACCUAAUGGUGCUUCAGGAGAGUUCUUGUCCAGUUCUCUUGGUAGGUGGCAGAAUCGUGGAUCCAAUCCUGAUCGUGGGUUGAUUACGGCUUUUAAAACUAUUGCUACGAUGUCUGAUAGGUAACCUUUUCUUUUAUUUUUUCUUAUGUUUUUGGGUGUUUUGCUUUAUUUGAUUUAUUGUGAAGUUGUGGAGGUGUUUGGAUGUGAUUGGUUGAGGUUAAUGAGAAGUUUAUGAAUUUUAUUGAUGGGUUGUUUAGAUUUUUGAUUUAGAUGGGUAAGGGAAUAUAAACUCUUGGAUGUUGAAUUUGGUGGGUUUUGAUUGGUUGCACUGUUAAUGGAAUUAGUUGAUGCUUUGAGUCUGCUGUUAGGCUGAUGAAAUUGGAACUGGAGGGGCAGAGUAGUGAUGGUACAAAUGCAAAUUCAACAAUAAAUGACCUAUUUUGAUUUGAUCAUAGAUGGAUAUUGACUAGAAGUGCUGAAAUUUUUGAAUGAUUUGGUUGUUUCUACUAAAGGCAGUCCAAUGGAAAAAUUUCAUCUUGCAUCUUUUGAAAGAAAGGAAUUAGGAUUAAAGCUCAGCUUCAGUUGAAUUAGUGGAAUAUGCCACCAAUUGCGAGUUUGUUGAAAUGGUUGUGGAAAUAGCUGUUCCAAUUUGAUUUUGUUUAUGCCUUAUAAUGCAAGGGUGUUUUUUGUUCCUCAAGAAAGUUCUACUUUUUAUAUAUGGUAGUUCCAACUUUCUAAUUGAUUUGAGGUUGACUGGAAUUGGAGUUGUGAAUCCAUUUGAUUUUGACAAUUGAUGUAAGUUCAUGACUUCACUGAUUGUUUGGUGGUUUUGGUUCGUGUGAUUAGAUUUGGACCUUUGUUGGUUGUUUGUAUUGGUGUUGUGUUUGUGGGUUGAUUUUAGAUGAGGAGGGAACUGAAUUUAGAUCCCACAUUUGGUGUGAUUUUGAUGUUGUAGCAGGGGUUUAAUUGGCUGUGAUGUUAAGGAGAUUAGUUGAUGGUUUGAUGCUGUGGUUGCUUGAUGGAACUGGACCUUUAGGUACUUAAUAGUGAUAAGAGAUGCGAAUUCAUCCCCAAGAAGGAAUUUUUUGAUGCAAGGCAGAAUGAAUAUUAAUAUAGAUUGAUAAAGUUUCAAGUCAGAAGGAACGAGAUUAUCUUGCAUCUUGAUAGGCAUCUCUGGAUUCGAAUUAUGAGUUAUUAGUAGAAGUUGACUUAGGUUUCCAGCUUGAUUAUGUUGGUGCCUUUUAAGGCUGUGUAUGCUUCAUGCAACAAAGUUAUAGUCUUUGUAAAGUGAUAGCAUUAUGUUACUGAAUUCUCACUCUCUAUUAUGUACAUACAUUUUAUGCGCAAUGAUGUUUAUGAAAAAAUACACUUUUGCAAAGUCGUUGCUAAUGUGUAAUAUUUAUGUUUCAGGUUGGGCCUUGUUGCAACUAUCAAGGUAUUCACACUUGAUAUUUAUAUAUUGAUAUUAAAACUGAUGGUUUCAACAGUGUCUUUUCUGAAAACAUCCUUGCAUGAAUAUGGAAAUAAACCCUUUACUAUCAUGUAAUAAUGUUGUCUUGUUAUUUAGUGUAUUAUCAGGUAACUAGCCAUGUAUAUCUUUCCAAUCAGAUUUGUCCUUCCCCAGCGUUCAUAAAUGUAUAAGCACAUUCUUAUGAAGUUAUGAUAUAUGAGAAUAUUCUAUAAAUUCUAUGGCUUGAUUGGAAUAAAGUUACAGGUUUUUGUAAAUAUGAUUAAUCUCUUGUAAAAUAAUGAAAUUAUGGCAUAGGAGAUACAAAAGAAAUUUUAUUCGCAAUGACCUGUGAAUGAAUUUUUUUUAUGUAUUGAUUGUAAAUAGAGCUGCAGAAUAUUUGUCUUUACAGUUUAAUUGAAAAAGCCUAAUCUACUCAAAGCAAGCAUGAAAUUCAAAGAUUUUGAUAACUGUUCACUCUUCUCAUCGAAGCAAAAGGAGACUCAUUCAUCUGUGGGGGGAGAGAAGUGAGUUAGGGGAGAUGAGAUAGCAUAUUGUUAUAUACUUUUAUUGCAAGCUUAUUGAGAAAUUAUUUGACAUAAUUCUCAUGUAGGUAUCUAAACUUACAAUGAAUAGAUCAAUCACAAACAUCAAAAGUGCUUCCCCAUCUUUUGCUCUUAUGAGGAGGAGGGGAAAAAGAUGAAGGGAGUGGGUUGUGAAGGCAUCAUGUUUAUUGGAAAACCAUAAAUAUGUUUUGAAAUGUUCAAUUUGGAUGCUUUUCUUGUUUGGUUGUUCAUGAGAACUUCCCUAAUGUUUCUUUUGUUUUUCUUUUUUGCUCCUCUGGUGAUGCAUUUUUCAUAAUAUUGAAGGAUCGGGCCAAUGAGAUCUACAAGAAGGUGGAAGAUCAAAAGUCCAGUAGAGGAAGGAAUCAAGAUGCUUUAUUGGCUGCUUGCCUCUACAUUGCUUGUCGACAAGAAGACAAGCCCCGAACUGUAAAGGGUAUUGUCUAGCAUUCUUUUAACAUAUGGAUUUUUCCUGAUUUAAUCUUUCCCCGAGUGUUUGAACUUCCCUGAACCUCUGAAUUUCAACUAGAAAUUUGCUCUGUCGCCAAUGGAGCCACAAAGAAGGAAAUUGGCCGAGCAAAAGAAUACAUAGUGAAACAACUGGGUUUGGAGACUGGUCAGUCCGUGGAGAUGGGAACUAUACAUGCUGGGGAUUUUAUGGUGUGUUUUUUUUCCCAUUAAAUUUACUGUGUUGGUGUUAUUGUUUAUUUACAGGGAGUGUUCCUUAUUGUUCAGAUGCGAAUAUGGGUUUUAUCUGUAUUAUUAGCACCAUUGUUAUUAACAUCAGCCUCAACUUGAUCUGCAGAGGCGUUUCUGCUCCAAUCUUGGAAUGUCUAAUCAUACAGUUAAAGCUGCCACAGAAGCUGUUAAAACGUCAGAACAGUUUGAUAUAAGGUAUUUACAAGUUUCUCACAUUACCUCUACUUUUACUAGAAAAGUGAUGGUUUUCUCUGUUUUGCUCAUUUUUGUUGCUCAUUCAUCACUUCUGGUUAAUAAUUGUUGCAAGAUCCAUUAACUUUAGAAUAAGAAGAAAUAGUUCAAAGACCAGGCAAAGAAAACACUCUUAACAUCUUUGUUUUAUUAACCUUUUGGAUCAAUCUAAGUUGUUCAACAAAUAUAGCCACUCUUUAUAAUCCCCUUCUAAUACUUGCAGGAGGAGCCCUAUAUCAAUCGCAGCAGCAGUCAUCUAUAUAAUUACUCAGCUCUCAGAUGACAAGAAGCCUCUUCGAGGUUUUGAUCGUUUUGAACUCUUUUUAUCAAGUGGAAACAAAUGAUUCAUUGGUGGAUAGAAUCAGAUAUUUCUGAAAUAACCCUAUUCUAUCAGUUUUAUUUAGACAAACCUUUCAGCAUUGUUGAUUUUAAACACCGUUAGACAUCUUCUCACUUAUGUUUCGGUAUAUUAGCUGCCUUGAGUUUCAAUUCAAAGAUAUGCUUUCAACUGAUAGUAGGCUUGGAUGCAGAUAUUUCACUAGCAACUGGAGUUGCUGAAGGAACAAUCAGAAAUUCCUACAAGGAUCUUUAUCCCCACGUGUCAAAGAUUAUACCAUCAUGGUAUGCCAGCGAGGAAGAUUUGAAGAACCUUUGCAGUCCUUGAACAAUACAGUGAAAUUACCGGGAAGAAAAACCCGUUUGAUUUGAUCUGUAAGCCUCCAUCUAGGAUGUAAUUAAGAAACUGUUGAGACAUACAGGGGAUGCACAAGUCCUCUCGUUCUUUUUUAUUUAAUUCCGCAGUCAACAGUACCGUCAAUUCAGGGAUAGGAAAGAAAGGAAAAAAAGAGAGAAGAAAUAGCAAUCAAUUUUAAUUUAUGCUCACCAACGACAGCAAUUUUAAUGUAAUUUUGAUGUGUAUUAAUAUUCAAAUGGUAAACCCACUUUUCAAUUCAUUUCUUUUCGUGUUGAGCCAUCCGAUUCUUGCAUCAGUUAAUUGUGAUUGCUCAUUGACCGUUGAUCAUUUGAAGAAGUGUCUGUUUCUGAUUGGGAUUACUCAAUUGACAUGAUAUGUCACAAGAGAAGAUGAAAGAAACACUUCCGCCCCAGUUUGAGUUUCCCUGUGUAAGCUCUGUCCAUGGUGAAGGGGAAAGAGAAGGAAAGAGAAGGAAAGUGGAAGUAAAGAAAACGUCUAUCUAUGUUACAAAUGAAGUUGGCAAAAAGAAAUGAAAAGAUAAAACUUUGGGUGUUACCCCGUUUUCUGCUUGUUGAAUUACUACGACUCUUUUCUAAACAAUUUUAAAAAGGUUUUUAUUUUUAUAAUUUUUAUAUAUACAUGAUAUUAUUAUUAUUAUAACUAUCAUAUCACCAUAACUAUCAUUUUACCGCUAAUGUCCCUACAUUUUCAUAAUUACGAUCACCAUUAUCAUUAUAAUACCAAUAUUAUUAUCAUGAUAAUAUCAUUCUUAAUUUUCACUGUUCCUUCUUAUCUCACCACAUUUUAUUUUAAUAUUAUGAUUAUCGUCAACUCCACAAUCACUAUUAUUAUAAAAAACUUUAAAUCAUGUGGUGUUUUCAUUCUAACAAUUCACAAUGAUAUUUUUUUUCUUCUUAAUUUAGUCCUUAAAUUUUGUUUCACUUCAAUUACAUCCUUUUUAUGUCUAUAUUCAUGACCAAUUGAGGGAAAAAAUCGAAAUUGAGGAGACCAAAAUGUAAAAUAAGAAGAAAAUGAGUUAUAAUUUUAGAAAUGGGGUGAAAAGUUCACUUUGAUCCUCUUAUUUUUUAAAUGAUAACUUUCGAUCCCUCAAUAUUUCAAAAACGCAAUUAUGUACAAAACUUCUUCUCUUUUUUUUCUUUCAAUUCUAGUUUGAGAAGAGAGAGAGAAACUAGUUAGAUUCCGGUUGUAGAAAGAGAAAGUCUCGAUUGAUACUAAUUCCAGCUACGAAAAAUAUCAAUUUUGGUGUUAACAAAUUUCAUUUUAUGAGAAGAGUUCUACCUAGAUAUUCCUUGGCCUUACCAUAAUCUGAGAUGGUAGAUUUGAGCUUGAAAAUUAUUUAUUUAUUUAUUUUUGGUCAAUUUUAGAUUUUUAGGUUUUUUAAGGUCAUUUGAAGGUAUGAAUGAGUUUGUCAAAGUGCAUAGAGUAUUUUAUAGGUGUUUUGAGUAAAAAAAUAGGUUGAAAAUGGAGUUUUUUUGGCAAAAAAAACCAUGACCUAAAUUUCCAAUGAUCCUUUAGUUGCUUGAAACUGGGCCAGUAGGCAACUUAUUAUUAUGUUUUUGUAAAUGUCAUCCAUCCUUUGAAAAAAAUGAUUCGAAGUUAGUCCAACGGCAUAGACUUGGGUUAAAAGUCCAUCCUCACUUCUAAUAACAUUGUAACAUUAAUAUCUUGUAAUAGAAGUUUCCUUCUACUAACAUUUAUAACAAAAUUAAUAUGUUUAAAUUAUGGAUAACAUGUCUAAUAAAGCAAUGCAUAUAAGAUUUAUGUGUCAACUCCUAUAAUGUUGAAAAUUAUUUUGGUUAGCAUGCCACGAUAUUUCAAUCGAUCAGGUCUGUAACUCAAGACGUAAGUAAUGAUUUGCAAGUAUAACUUAUCGGCCUAAACAAUAGAAAUCUAUGACACUAAACACUUUUUGAGAACUUCAUAUAUUUCAUUUUGACAAUUUUGAGAAAACAAGGAAUGACUUAAUGAUAUUUAUGGAUGUGUUAUGGCCAUUACAUACAUUUCCAAUUUCCAAUUUUCAAUUUACUCCACCUCCUUCAUUAAUGGCUACUGCAUUCUUUAAUAUUAGUGGCUGCGUUCUUCUUGUAGGUGAACUGCUAGUGUAUUUUGAUGACUUUUGGGCAAUGAUUACACACUUAGAAAGUAAAGUUUAUACUUUUAACAUCCGAUUUAAACUUGACUCUUUUGACUUUAUCAUUCCAAACAUGUUCUAUAUUCUUGUAAACACAUCAUACUUGAAUGAUUUUAUAAAUAUGUCAGUUAGUUGAUCAUAAGUUAUACAAGAUACCAACUCAAUUUCUUUAUUUUUCACAUGUUCUUUGAUGAAAUGGUAUCGAGUGUCAAUGUGUUUGCUUCUUUUAUAGUAUGAUGGGUUCUUUUCUAAAGCAAUCACAUAAUGACUAUCUAUGUAUAAUUAUAUAAGAUUUUCUUGUGGAAUUUUUGAAAAACUUUAAUACGUUUCUCGACCAAUUACCAUGACAUGUAACUGAUCUAGUAACAACAUACUCAGCUUCAUAUAAUAAUAGUGUAAAGAACCAAGAAAAUGAUGUCUUCCAUGAAGAAUGUGAACCUAGCUAUGCCUUUUUUUUUAUCCAAGUCAUGUCCCAAAUCAGUAUCAGUGUAGCUAAUAAGCUUGAAAUCUUCACUUUGUGUGUAGAACAAACUAUUAUUAAGAGAACCUUUUAUAAACCAAAGAAUCCUUUUAAUUGUAUUUAUAUGAGAUUAGUUAAGGGUCUUCAUGUACCUAUUAAUUAGCCUAACUUUAUAUGGUAUAUCUGGUAUAGUAUAAGUCAAGUACCUAAAGAUUUUAAUGACACUUUUGAAAUAUAUAGGAUGUAUAUCUCUUUUUCACAUUAUUUUUUAAAUCUAAUCUCGUUUCAACUGAAGUUGUCAAAGAGUUAUACUUUUCCAUUCCAAACUUCUUUAUAAUCUUUUUUGCAUAGUUGUAUUGGGAGAUGGAGAUUUUUCUUUUUUUGCUUUAUAGAACUUUUCUGCUAAGGAAAUGAGCUAUCUGGCUUAUAUUUGACAUCUUAAAUUCAUUGACCAUGCUUUUCUCGAAAGCACCAAACAUAUCUAGAUUGUUGCUAAUGAAUAUUAAAUCAUCAACAUAUAAGCAACCAAUUAUAAUGCUUUUAUUUGACUUCCUCUUCAUAUAUAAUGCAUAUUUAUAGGACACUUUUCAGAAUCAUUCUUCAUGAAAUAAUCAUCGAUCCUAGUAUUCCAUGCACGUAGAGCCUGCUUUAACCAAUAUAGGGCUUUCUUUAGCUUAUACAAUAUAUUUUAUAACCUUUCUUCAUCUAUUCAGAUGACUGAUCAAUAUCGAUUUUUUCUUCAAGGACCCCAAUUAGAUAUUUUGAUUUCAUGUGCAUAUGGUAAAUUUUUCAUUGUAAUGUACAACUAGUGAAAUCAAUAAUCUAUUGGCCUUAAAUAUGGAAACUAGGGAAAAGACUUCAUUAUGGUGAGUUUUUUUUUUGCCUGCACCCUUUUAUGACAAGCCUAGCCUUAUACCUUUGAACUUCUCUUUAAGCAUUCUUCUUUGUCUUGUAAACCUACUUGAAUUUAAUGGUCUUGUGUGUUUUUAGAAGAGUAGUCAACUUCCAUGUGUUGUUCUUUUUAAUAGAUCUAAUUUCUUCAUCCAUUGCACUCUUUUAUUUUUCUUAUUUGUUAACUUCUUGAAAACUAACUCGGUCAUAACUCGUCUAUAGACAAAAUAAAAUGUACUCAUCACCCUGUAUGAGUUUUGUAUCCUCAUUAAAUUAUUUCAAGUUUUAAACCCUUCUUGGUCUCUUGUCAAAAAAUUCUUUUAGUGCUAAGUGUGGAGUCUUAUGUAUUUGUAUUGAAGGAUGAACUCUUUUUGGUUCUUCUUCUAUUAAUUGAGUUAGUUUCUCUUCUUCAAUAGUUAAUUCUGUAUAUCUAGAAGAUUUAGUGUGAUCCUAUCUUUAUAAUUCAUUUUUUUUUUCUUAAAAAUAACAUCUUUAUUAUAUAACACUUUAUUGGUGAUGAGAUUGUACAACAUGCAUCGCAUUAUUCUAUCACCAUAUCGAAUAAAGAAAAAAUUAUUCCUUUUAUCUUCAAGUUUAGUUAUUUUCACACUUGGAAUUUUGGCGUAUGCAAUACAUCUAAAAACUUGAAGAUGACUUAUACUUGGCUUAAUGAGUGCUCUAUACUUCAUAUGAAAUUUUAUUAUUUAAACUUCUGUGGGAUAUUUAUUGAAUAGAUAAGCUUUACAUGAAAUUGCUUCAUCCCAAAAACAUUUGGGCAAUGACUUUUCCUUUAACAUGAUUUUAGCCAUGUUAUGGAGUGUGUGACUCUUUCUCUUAGCAACAUCAUUUAGUUGAGAAGUGUAGGUUGGAGUGUACAUAUGCUUAAUUCCUCUCUACUUGAGGAAUUCUUUAAAUUUUCUUGCUUUGUAUUCAUCACCUUGAUAUGAUUAAAGCAUUUUGAUUUGGUAGCCACUAUUUUUUUAACAAAGGCUUUAAACUUUUUGAAGUUAUCAAAUACCUUUGAUUUCCUUUUCAAAAAACACACCCAAGUUCUUUUAUUAUAGUUGUUAAUGAAAGUGAGGAAAUAUUACUUUUCUCAAUUUAAUUUUAUAUUUAAUGGACCACACAUAUCAGUGUGCAUUAACUUGAGUGCUUAGUUGCUCCCUAAUUUGCUUCAUUUUCAAAAAUAUUUAGGUGCAACUUACUAGGAACACAUAUUUUAUAAAGCUCAUUUGGAUGAUGAAUGUUUGGAAUACCUUUCACCAUCUUCUUGCUUUCGAAUUAUUUUAGACUUUUUAAAUUAAGUUGUUCAUAUCUGAGAUGUCAUAACCAAUCUUUAUCAUUAAUAAUGCUUCUUAUACACUUUGGUAUAUUAUAGUGAAUAGUGAGUGAACGCAUCAUGUUCUUCUCCAUCUUCACUCGAGUAAUCAACUUCCCUCGAGUAUCUGCAAGUGUCAAGUACAUAUCCUUUAAUUUGAUUUGAUAACCUUCUCUAUUAAGUGUCCAAGAUUGGAUAUAUUUGUCUUUAUUUCUAGAAAUAAUAGACAUUAGAGAUGAAAGCAUGAUCUCCAUCCUUCUGCUUGAUUAGAACAUCUCCUCUCUCUCAAACUAGGACUUUAGAGAGAUCACCUAAUGAUAUCUCUCAUUAAACUUUAUCAUCAAAUUCAACGAAUAAGUUCUUUUAUCAGAAUAUAGGAUUGUUUUUUUUAUCAUCAGAUAAGGAUACUUUAACUUUCUUAGAUAAUACAUCUUUGAAACUAUCUUCCAUGAUAUCCAAGACAUCUUGAAAACCUAGUAGGCCUCUCAUAUGAAUGCAUCAAUUGUCAUAAUUCUCUUUUAUCAAUUUCAGGAUGAGCACUUGUGUGGUUUCGUAGGCCAUUGAUUUUGACUUUAUUAAAACAAGUCUUUAUAAAUUAAGUUUUGAAAAAAAAUGACUUUGUCAAUGAGUCUAGAAGAGUUUAUUUUGUUAGGUAGAAUUGUUCUAUAAUUUUUAGAAAUUUUAGGUUUACUUUUGAAAUUUUAGAAACUUUAGGGUUUGUUAUAAAAUUUAUGAAAGAUUUUGGGUUGUUUUACAAAUUUCAAAAACUUUAGAGGUUGUUAUAAAAUUUAUAAAACUUUUAGAGUUUUUUGUAAUUUCUUAAAAUUUGGACUAGUUGUCUUCUCCAAUGACAAUGAUUUUUUCUGAAAAAACUUCGGCAGGCUUUUGGACGCUUGUCUGAACUUCAUUUGGGUUGAUAUUUCAUUUAUUGUGAUUGUCCCUUUGAGUACUUUUCAAUGGUUUAUUCAAAAAAUAUUUUUGAACACAUUAGUUUAUAGGUAAAAAUCAAUAACACAUUCUAUUUUUUAUUCUUAGGUUCUGAUACCACUAUUGGAUGGAAUGGGUAAUUGAGGUUACUAGUGGUGCACCUCCAAGAGAGUAAAAUUUACACAGACAAAAACUAAAUUUAGAAUUAUUUCAAACAUACAUAAGAUUACAACUCCCUCACAGCCUCUCUUUCUCUUUAACUCUUUUUUAUUUUCUUGAUCACUCCUCACAUCUAAAUACUCGGAUUACAUGCAUUUUUAUAGGAAAACAAAGACACUAAAAAAUAUCAUUGCUCAUAUUACCUUUUCUUUUUCAUUUCAACUAUUAUUGUACCUACUUCACCUCCUUCAUUAAUGACUAUUACAUUCUUCAAUAGUAGUGGUUGUCUCCUUUUUAUAGGUGAGCUACUAGUGAGUUUUGAUGACUUCCGGCAAUGGUUACACAUUUAACAAGUCAAGUUUAUACUUCCAACAAAUGUCAUUCCAAACUUGUCUUUGUUUAAAGGAAUAAAAAUUAUGAGGCUGAAGAGAAGUAAUGAAAGGUUGGCUGGUAUGGGUGUAGUGGUUGUAGAGUUAGGGAGAAUCUGGUAGUCAUGUAAGGUGAAGAGAGAGGGAAGAGAGAUAGGAGAAAUAUAAAGGAGAAAAAGAAAAGAGGAAAAAAGGAAAUAAAAAGAAAAAAAAUAUAGAGAUAAAUUUGAAAGAAAAAGGUGCCAUAAGUAAAAACUAACCAUACUUUUUUUUUCUUUAGUUUUUAAUCCAAAGAUACAAAGAAGAGUCACAUACAUAUGUAAAAAGAUAUAAUAAACAAAAAAAACUUUAUAAGGACAUAGCAAACCGAAUUAAUAUAGUACAAAAACAUUUUUCUGCUUUAAUUCAUAGAAAAAAGCAUCUCUUUAAUUACAUUAUACAUUCAAUCUUAGUAAUCAAGAAGAGAAAAACAAAUAAAGCUUAAAUUCACUCCAAUUGUUUAUAUUUAUUAACCUCUAUAAAAUUCAAAAAAUUGAUCAGCAUAAGUUAAUUUUAACCAUUUUUCCUCAUUAUUUUUUUAAUUUAAAAUAUUAAGUUAUAGAAAAAAUAAAAUUUAAUUAUAAUUUUUAUGUUUUUAUUUUUAUUUUUAAUAAAAAAUAAAAGAAAAAAAUUAAAAAUAUGUAAAAUUAACUAAAAAAACUUGUGAGACUAAUAUUAAGAUCAUAUUAGCAAUAUCUUGUUCCUUCUUUCUUUCUUUCUUUAAAAAAAAAUAAUCAAUGUUUCUAUAAAUCAAGCAUCCACUUUAUGAUUUAAUGUCAUCUAAAGCAAACAAUGAUUUAAAUUAGUGCCUUCUAAAUCAAUGUUUGAUAUGUUGGUCUCAUACAAUUCUUAUUAGUUAUGUUAAAUUAGACCAUCCUUAAGCUAUCUAUUUGUUUAUACAUCUUAUUAAAAACAAAAUAGUUGACUUGGUCCACGAACUUAAGGUUGCCUUUGUUUAGUGUUCUAGGAUAGAAGUGAUGUAAACAUGUUUGGUUGAAGGAACAAAGAUAAAAAUAUAAAAAUAAAUAUAUUUCUAAGAUAAUUUUGAAGUGAAUUUUUAUCCUAUCAAAAUGGAAAGGACAAAUAAGUCAUGUCUUCUUUAUCCCAGUUGUCUUCAUCUCUUUGUCGCAUGAUACUAGCCAUUCAUUGUAUAAUAAUUAUGAUUAAAAAGUAAGUAAUGUAAAGUAACCAAAUGGAAGGCUUAUGGGAAACCAAUUUAUGGUCAUUGCAUUAUAUAUUAAAUCAUGUUUGAAUGAGUCAAAAUAAAAAGAAAGGUGCUAACUGUAUACAAGAAAAAAAAUCCCUGAAUAUCUUAUUUAAUAGGAUGAGUGGAUUCAAUAAGUCUAAUGGGUGGAUUUUUCUAGUAGUCAUCAUGGAAAGGUUUUUUUAGUGAAAUUAGCAUUACUCAAUAAGUAAAUUCUAAUAUGAGAAGGUUCCUAUAUAAAAAGGUUCCUAUUUGUGUUUAGAAUCCUUGUUAAAUUACUGUUUAGAAUCCUUGUUAAAUUAGAUUAGGUUAUAUUGAUCUUAUUUUUAUCUUAUAAUCUCUUUUUAUAUAUUUAAGAGACAUGUAUGCAUAAUUUAAUGAUGAAUAAGAGAAGGGAGGUUCAAAAUACUUUAUAUGUGUCUUAUUUUUUAACAAUUAAUAUCAUACCGUGUUAAAAGAAGACCAUUUACUUAUUUUGUUAUAUUCUCACAUUGUAAUCUAGUAGUUUUUGAAGAUGUUGUAAAAUAAUUAAAGUGUAAAAAGGCUAUGGAUAAUGACAUUAAUGUCAUCAAAAGAAACAAUACUUAAAAGUUAAUGGAGCAUCCAAAAGGACAAAAGACCAUUGACAUGAAACACAAUUACCACCGAUGCCAUAAUUAUUGACGGAUUAUCCGUCGGUAAUUACCGUUGAAAAUUCAGACGGUUUUAGUCCGUCGGUAAUGUUCCCGCGGGAAAUAUUUUUUUUUGGCACGCAUAUCCGUCUGUAAGACCGUCAGUGUUUCCGUCGGUGGGUGGUUUUUUUUAUUUGCGACAGAAUUAGCGACGAAAAGACGAGUUACCGACGACUAUUAUACCGACGGACUAAAUCCAUCGGUGAAACUGUCGGUAAUUAUUUCACCGACGAAGUUCAUUCUUGUCACCGACGGAAUUAGUCCGUCGGUAAAACUGUUUAAUGGUGUAGUGAAAUAAGUGUUCAAGAUAAAGUUAAAGGAAAAUGACAAAGUCGACAAGUAUAAAGCACAUCUAAUAACCAAAGGUUAUAUGUAAGCAUACAUUAUCAAUUACAAAGAAGUUUUUGCUUAAAUUAUAAGACAUGACACAAUUAGAUUGAUUCUUGCUUUGGUAGCUCAAAAUUCAUUAUUUAUCUUAUAGUUGGAUAUAAAAUCAGCUUUUUUACACAAAGAUCUACAAUAACAAGUAUUUGUUUAUCAAUCUUCUGAUUAUAUGAAAUUAGGUGAUGAACAAGGUCUAUAAGUUUUAAAAAAGCUCUAUAUGAGUUGAAGCAAGUUCCAAGAGCUUCAUACAGUCAUAUAGAAGCUUAUUUUUUUUUAAGAAGUUUUUAAAAGAUGUCCAUAUGACUAUAUUUUUUUUUAAAUUAAAGACGGAGAAAAAAUGCAUUUUGUAUGUUUAUAUAUAGACGAUUUAAUUUACACUAGAAAUGAAAGAGCCAUAUUUGAAAUUUUAAAAGGUUCAUAAUGACUAAUUAAGUUCGAUAUGUCUAAUCUUAGAAAGUUACAUUAUUUUUUUGGCUUUGAAGUGGUUUAAUCUACUACUAGAAUUUUCAUUUCUCAAAAGAAAUAUGUUUAAGAAGUUUUAGAUAAACUUCAAAUAAAAAAAUAUAAUUUAGAAAAUACACUAACUGAGUUUGAUUUGAAACUAGAUAAAGAUUAUGGAGGAAAGAAGGAUGAUAACAUUCUUUACAAGAAGAUUGUAGGAAGUUUAAUGUAUGUAACAAUAGACAGUAUAUACAUUAAGAAACCAACAAAGAUACAUGUUCAAACUAUUAAAAGGAUACUUUGGUACCUAAAAGGCACCAUAUGCUUUGGUUUGUUCUAUAAGAAGGGAGAAAAGUCAAACUUGAUGAGUUUUAUUUACAGUGAUAAUAUAGGAGAUUAAGACAAUAGAAGAAACACUUCAAGUUAGGAAUUAGCGAAUUGGUGUCGUUGCAUAAGAUGAGGAGCAUCAAUUCGGCUCUAAUAGCUACAUGAAUGGAUUAUUAGACGAGGCCUGCAGCUUUCUCGUUAUUCAAAAACGAGUACAUAUAGGCAUAGUGUUGUUUUCCAAAGAGACAACAUCAUCAAACAAGAACAUUGUAGAGCAAAUGCCACUUCAUUUGUUUGUUAGUUUGCUUGGUCUUCGGUCCAGUCUUCUUGUUUUGCAAGCAUUGUAUAGAUAGAUGCCGGUAGAUAUGGACAUUGCGACUGAUUAAUUUAAUGAAAUAGGUAACUUUCUAGAGGUAAAAAAAUGAAAAACAAGAAAAGGUUAAUGACCAUGAGACUUUGUCCAGAGUAUUGUUGUUAACCAGAAAUUGUCCACGUAUCUAGGCUAUGUUUCUUUCUUGAAAAGUGGUUUCCGGAAAAUCACUUUCCAAACUUUCCUGUGUUUGUUUGUCAUUAUGAAAGUUGGUCAACGGAAAACACUUUCCAGUCAAAGGAAAAUUUGGCUUGGUUUCCAGGAAAGUGUUUUCCUGAAAAAUUUGGACGGAAAACACUUUCCGGAAGUUGUGAAAAAUUUAGAAAUAUCAUAUUAUUUGCUGAUUAUAUCAAAUUUGGUUCUCAAACUUUUAAUUGCUAUAUAUAUUUUGUUUUAAAUAUUUAUUUUUCAAUUUCAUCUCUUAAAAUUUAAUUUUUAUAUUAACUUUGGUCCUCAUUUUUAUAAUUGUUAUUUGUUUUUUCCUUAUCAUUUUUUUUAUUGAAAUUUUUUCUCUAUUAAAUUUGAUCCUCAUUCUUUUGAUUGUUAUUUUAUUUGAAAUAAUUUAUGAAAUGUUAAUUAUUAUUAGUUUAAUUUCUUCAUCUUUUUUUUUUAAAUUUGAUCUCUAUUAUUUUGAUUAUUAUUUAUUUUAUUUGAGAUAAUUUAUGAAAUUAUAUUUUUUUUCAAUUUGAUUCUCAUUAAAUUUUUUAAUUUGUAAGAUUUGUUCAUCAUUAUUUUAAUAAACUUGAGAAAAAUAAAACAUUAAUAAGUUAUUUUCCAGCUCAUUUUCCAUGACAUAACCAAACACUGGAAAGUGUUUUCCAACUUAUUUUUCAUUACACUACCAAAUAUCAGAAAAUAAUUUACUUUCCCGGAAUUCACUUUAAAAAAAAAAAUUACUUUCCAGCAAACAAACGGGCCCUAAAGUAAAGACAGUUUUCAUUUAUGGCUCUAUCCUGGCAAGAAUCCAUCAUCUAGCUAGGCUUACAAGGUACUUAAUACCUCUCUAACUACAAGUAUAACCUUACCAAUAUAGCACAUUAACUAAUUAGAGAUUAGAGACGUAUACGAACAAUGUUUUCUAAACAAUGAAUAUAUGCAGUUUUUCUCCUAUAUAUUAUCCAAUUGCAUAUAAGGCUAUUGCUACUUUCAUUUUUCAUACACAAAAGCACGUUUCUCCCUUAGUUAUCAAUCUCAAAUAAUUUGACAACUUUUAUUGACGACAAACACAGCAUUAUCAAUUUCAUAUUCUACUCAUAAUCCCAACCACCCUAGUCUCUAUAUAAAAGCCCAUCCCCUAACACAACAGCAUCAUACGAAAACACAUAAAAUCUAUACCCAGAGCCAUUUCAAACAUCUUCCACCCUAUGGCUAACCAACAAGACCCACCAAGCCACGGCAUAAAUGACCUCACAAAACAAGCACAAGUUGUUGUGGUCAUGGUGCCCCUUCCAGCACAAGGCCAUCUUAACCAGCUCCUCCAACUCUCUAGGCUCAUCCUAUCCCACAACAUCCCGGUCCACUACGUUGGCGCCACCACCCACAAUCGUCAGGCCAAGCAGCGCGUACACGGUUGGGACCCAAACGCCGCUGCAAAUAUCCAUUUCCAUGAUAUCGAAAUCCCUCCUUUUCAUUGCCCCCCGCCCGAUCCAAAAGCCAAAAUCAAAUUCCCUUCUCACUUACAACCAGUCUUCAACGCCUCAUCUCAACUUACCGAGCCUGUUUCUAUGCUUUUACGUGCACUUUCUUGCAAAGCAAGAAAGGUUAUUGUAAUUCAUGACUCUUUAAUGGGGUCUGUGAUUGAAGAAGCUCGUUUCCUCUCGAAUGCCGAGUCUUACACUUUCCAUAGUGUGUCUGCUUUUGCUAUUUCCUUGUAUGAAUGGGAACAAGAAGGGAAGCUUAUAGAGGAAAAUGAGUUGUUUCCACGGGAUACUCCUUCUCUAGAAGGGUGUUUUACUGAUGAGUUUGCGGAUUUCGUUGAUUGUCAUUAUAGUAAGUACCAAAAGUUUAACACUGGCUGUGUUUACAACACUUGCAAAUUGGUAGAAUCUGCUUAUUUGGAUUUUCUUGAGAAAGAAACAAUUAAGGAAGGCAUUAAGCAUUGGGCACUAGGGCCUUUCAAUCCUGUGACAAUACCAGAAAGAUCAGAAAGCUCAAAAAAGCAGCAUUUUUGCUUGGAGUGGCUUGAUAAACAAGCAAAAAACACGGUAAUUUACGUGUCGUUUGGGACGACGACCACCUUCGAUGAUGAACAAAUCAAGGAGCUGGCAAUUGGGUUGAGAGAAAGCAAGAAAAAGUUCAUAUGGGUUCUAAGAGAUGGUGAUAAAGGAGAUGUUUUCAAUGGAGAAGAGAGAAGAGCCGAACUUCCAAAAGGGUAUGAGAAUUCAGUGGAUGGGAUAGGACUAGUGGUGAGAGACUGGGCACCCCAACUAGAGAUUUUAGCUCACCCGGCAACAGGAGGGUUUAUGAGUCAUUGUGGAUGGAAUUCUUGCAUGGAAAGCAUUAGCAUGGGAGUGCCAAUUGCAGCUUGGCCUAUGCACUCGGAUCAACCAAGAAACACAGUUCUAAUAACAGAAGUCCUCAAGAUUGGAAUUGUCGUUAAGGAUUGGGCGCAACGAGAUGAGAUUGUAACAUCUAAGAUUGUUGGAAGUGCUGUGAAUAGGCUAAUGGCAUCAACAGAAGGUGAUGAGAUGAGAAAGAGAGCAGCAGAAAUGGGGGAGUCCGUGCGAGGAUCCGUGGCUGAAGGUGGAGUUUCUCGUAUGGAGAUGGAAUCCUUCAUUGCUCAUAUCACUAGGUAAUUAAUUAAAUUCAAUUAACCCUGUUUUAGUCAUCAUCAUGUGGAAUUAUCAUGGCUAUCAAAUCUGAAUUACAAUAAAAUGAAGGCAGGUAAGUCCAUGAAAUGUUGUCCUUAUUGUACUCGUUGGAUUGUCAUGAAAUUAUAUUCUACUGUUUUUGCUUAUAAAGGAGGAGAAAAAAAUGCAGACUGUUUUAUAUAUAUAGAUUAACCUAUCCACCCAUCGUCUAUGAGUGAUUAUACAUUCACUAAGAAUAGUUUGAGCGAUUCCAUCAUAUUUAUGUUGGAAUUAAAGUUGAUAGGAUCUUUCAAUUAAAUUGAAUCAAAAGACACUACUUAAAUGUUGAAUUGGAUGUUUCCAUGUUUAGGCGGUGUUUGUUUACGCGGCUGCAAUUUGCUUUUUAAAGCAAACCACAGCCUCAAAUGUUUGGUAACAAAAAAACCACGAUCUACUAUUCAUGUGGGGCCGGCUAAAAUGAGUUAAAACAGCAUGUUUGUGGAAAGCAGCUCUUUGUUGCUUUCCGCAAACUUGCGGAACACAGUGGAGAGUUACUCCACUGUUCCGGACCGACCGAGUCCGGUCCAAAUCUAAAUGUAUUGAACCGGGUCCGAUCCGAUUAAAAAAAAUUCAAUUUUUACUUUUUUAAUUGUGUUUUAUUCGAAAAAUUAGAAGGAGAUCGUUUGACGACGUAACAUUUGCAGAAUUUGAUCGCAAUCCCAAUUUUAUUCUUGUCGGGUUCGACCCAGUUAAAAAAACAUCCAGUUUUUAUUUUUAUUUUUAAUUAUGUUUUAUUCGAAAAAUUAGAAGGAGAUCGUUUAACGACAUAGCAUUUGCAGAAUUUGAUUGCAAUCCAAAUUUUGUUCUUAAUGAUAUUUUUACCUGAUAUUGUUGCGCUCUUAAUAAACCAUGGAAAAUGUAGUCCUUGUUGGAUAGAUUUCGUACGUGAUGAAAUUGCACGUAGUUUAAUGGAAUAAUAAAAAAUAUUUGAUAUCAAUAUUAUUUAUUUCAUGAUGUAAUAACAGUAGUUAAAUCUAAAAUAUUUAAAUUAAAAACCAUCAAUAUUAAUAUAUAUAUAUUUUAAUUAUUUUAUAACCUCAAUUUAAAAAGCAUUUUUUUAACCAAACAUAUUAAAUUACUUUUUGUCCAACCUCAAUUUCAACCACAGUUUUAACCAAACAUAUAUUUUUCCAAAUCAACCUCAACUAAAAAUAUUUUUUAUAAAAUAAUUUUUUUCAAAUAAAAACCACAACAGUUACCACAUUAGCAAAUAUACCCUUAAUCAAGUUGUUUUAACUCGUAGUGAAAAUUUUCUUAUUGACUAGACACAAAGAGAGAGAAAAUAUAAAAAAUUAUUUUACCAUGAGUAGAUUACCCGAAUGUGGCCGGUUUAUCAUGGAAUUUGGUUCUUGUUGUAGAAAAAAUUCAACGAAAUACAAGUACGGUCAUAAAAAGCAAUGCCUGUGCCUCUGAGAAAUUAAGGACAAAGGAAAGGGUUUCCCUCCUAAUUAAUUGCAACAAAGAAGGAUAUUCGUCCUCUUGAAGACACAAGCGUUAUAGAACAAAUAAUUUGCUAGGAAGGAAAAGAGUCGAAAAGUUCUAAUUGAGAACUAAUUUAACGACUAAUCUACUACAGAAUAACUUGGCUUUAUCUAGCAAGCGCAUAAUUAAUUAAUCUAGUUUCAAUGAAUAUUACACAUCAAACAAAAUUAUUGGGGAAAAAAUUCAAUAGCGUAAGAUCAACACACACAUGCAUAUGACCCGCCCACCACUUACGUACACUAUUAAAAAUAAUUGUUUCUGAAGACUUCUUCUGAGAUUACGUCUCAAAGCUUGAUACAUAUAUAUAUAUAUAUAUAUAUAUAUAUAUAUAUAUAUAUAUAUAUAUAUAUAUAUAUAUAUCAAGCUUUGAUUUACGUCUCAAAUGGAAUGGACUAUUAAUUCUUUAAAGGCUAGAUUUAAGGUUAAAAUUCAAAAAAUUAAAGAGAAGAAAAAACCUCCUUAAUUACUUUUUUAUGUUAAAAUAUUUUAAUUAUACAAUGGAAGUAUCAUUAGAUUUUAGAAGGGGUAAAUAGAGUAACGGAACUCCCUAGAGUUUAUGAAAUUAUAAGAAAAAAAUUUCAAUUUGAAGGUAUAAAAAAAAGGGUCAAAAUAUCUUUAAUAUUUUAAAAUUUUUCUUGAUGUUAAAUUAUUAGUUUUAAAAAUAUUGAUAUCAUCUUAGGUAAAAUAAAAUUAAUUUUGUAUUAUUUUCUUAAAUAUAAAAAAUUUCUUAUUAAAAUUUAAACUUGUAAAUAUUUUAUAUAAUUUCACAAUAUUUAUUUUGGAAGUUGAUAAGCAAGAGACUAUUUGUAUUGUAGUAGCUUUUAUUUUUUCUAGAAAUGUUUUUAGUUAGUUAAAUAACUUUUAAAAUAUAAUUGUGUUUUAAAUUUUAAUUUUAUAAAAAUUAAAAUAACUUAAUUUUUAUUUAUAAAACUUAAUUUUUAUCUAUUUUAUAUAUAAAAAUCAUUUAUAAUAACAAUAACAACUAACACAAUAGCAAAGACAAACUUAAGUGGCCAUUGCCGCGCUGCUUGCUUCAUCUCAUACGUUUUUGUUUAAAAAAACGAUGACCAUCCCAAGAAACCUUUUACAUAAAUUAACCAUGUUUUCUUAGCUUGACCACCUCAACUUUUGUAAAAUAACGUUUAUUAUACUUUAUGUACUAAAAUACUUCGGAUGCAACGUAUCUCGUUUGCUUUUUAUGUUGCUAUUUAAUUUUUAACUUUAUUUUGAAAAAAAAUUUGAGAACAAAAAAAAAUUGCAAAAAACAAUAAAAACCCCAUAAAAAUAUGUUUUUAACAUCUUUACAUCACUUGCAGUGUUUUUUUUCUAUGUAUUCAAUUGCUAACGCGCUUUUUAAGUCUAUAUUGAAGUUGUUCUUUUUCUAUAUAUAUAAGAAAAAAUCAAAAUGAACAAAGGGACUAAAAGUGAAAAGAAAGAAGUUGAGGGAUUAAAUUGUUUUUCGAGUUACUUGGUCACUAAGUUUGCUUGGAGACCACACAAUUAAAAAUAAUAAACUUAUUUACUUAUAAACAUAUGGUUAUAUCACAAAAAAAAUAAAAAUGAGGAGAGCCAUUAAAAAAAUCCUUAACCUAUUUUCUAUACAAUAGCCACCACCCACUUUUCCAGUCGAAACCCCUCUCCAUAAAAAAAGUGUGUUUGGUAUUGUGGUAGCUGUUGUGCUUGUGGUUUGAAAAAAGUUAUUUUAUAAAAAGUGCUUUUAGUUGAGGUUGAUUUGAUAUUUAUGUAUGUUUGGUUAAAACUGUGGUUGAAAUUGAGGUUAAACAAAAAGAAGUUUAAUGUGUUUGGUUAAUAAUGCUUUUGAAAUUGAGGUUAUAAAAUAAUUUUAAAAAAUACAUAUUAAUAUUUAUGGUUUUUAAUUUAAAUAUUGUAGAUUUAACUAUUGUUAUUAUAUCAUGAAAUAAAUAAUACUUUAUAUAAAUAUUUUUCAUUGUUCCAUUAAACUAUCUACAAUUUCAUCACGUAUGAAAUAUAUCUGACAAAGACUACAGUUUUUUUGGUUUCUUAAGUGCGCGACAACAUCAAGUAAAAUAUAAUUAGGAACAAAAUUGGAAUUGUGAUCAAAUUCUGCAAAUGCUACGUCAUCAAGCGAUUUCUGUCUAAUUUACGUAGUGUCAUUGAAUAAUGUUAAACACUAAUUUUUCUAAUAAAACACAAUUAAAAAAUUAAAAAUAAUUUUUAUUUUUUAUUUUACUGGGUCGGACCCGGUUCAAUGCAUGUUGAGCUUUGGACUGAACCUGGUCCGGUCGGAACUGGUUCGACUGGAACAGUGUAGCAUGCUACACUGUUCAUGCUAAUUGCACUGUUAAGUGAACAGUGCAAUUAACAUGAACAGUGCGUGAAAAGUAGGAAUUCCUUGCUUUUCUUUCCCUAUGUUUCGGACUCAAAAAUAAUGUGGGACCCAUGCAUAGUAAAUCUUGUUUUCAUCUUUAUUAAACGGCUUAAAUCUGUGGUUUCAUUAAAACGCAAUCGCAGCCACGUAAACAAACAGGCUCGAAUUCAUCUCCUUCAACUAGCUUCCAACAGCCCAUGGCCAACCCACCAGCAGCCUAACCAACACCUUCAUCAACAAAACCUUAAUUUAGCCGCCAACCGGGCGUCUCCUCUCAAGACCCACAACAGACCCACCGACAACUAAACACACAAAACCAACAACUCUAUACUGUGAGCCAUAAUAGCCUUAGCCACUAUAAAAAGCCAACCCCCAUUUACCAAAUCACCCCAGCCUCUUCCACCACCAAUUACAGCUUCAACUAAUGAAAAGACACCUUUUAUCUCGACAAAAAUAGCCUUCACAGUAGCCCAGUCAUGCGCCGCCAAGCAACUCCAGUUCACGAACAAUAACCGUCGCCCCUUUCAAAUUCAAUCGUCGGCCAACAUACCUCUCCACUAGCCAUUGACUAUAGCGAACACCAUUAAUAGGCCAAGAGAGGGCUGGAAAAAAAGAUCCCCUAAUGAGAACAAAGAAGGAAACCAAAACUUGUUGUGUGUGUCUUUUGUUUUUCAGGUCUCCAUCGGUGACACCGCCGGUAUAGAAAGGGAGAAAAGAAAGAGAUCUUCUACUGCGAUGAACUGAGACCUUUUAUUCAACAAGUAUACUGCUUAAACUCUAUUAUUAAUGAACAAUUUAUCUCAUAUAAUAUCAUAAACUGACAUAUUAUUGAAUACCUCAUAGACAACAUCGUCAAUAUUUACUGUCCCAAAACUCACAAUUGACUGAAUCAUAAAUCUUUCGAUUACAAGAACAAUUUUUCAUGUGGUUCAGAACACAUGUAAGUACUGUUUAAUUAUUAUUAUCUAUCGGAAUACUUAAUUUCAUUAUACAUUUCUUGUUAACUAUUCAUAGUUGUACUUCAUGUACCGGGUUUAUAAAUUAGGAGGGAAUGGUAGUGUUACUUUGUCUUUACUGAGUUUAGGUCCUGAAAGAAAAGUGAAGUGCUACAACGGAUAUUUUAUCUAAUAGACACAUGUUUCAUACAGAAGAAUAUGGGAAGGGUAGAAAGACAUAUAACAAUAGGCUUUGUGUUAAGGGAUCGACUUCAAAUGAGUUUGAAGUUGACUAUUAUGAAAAAUUAAAAAAGGUAAUUGCAUUGCAGUAUCAUAGCAUGCAAACUAAAGUAUUUUUAUUUAAAUGUUAUUGGUAUGACACCACUGAUGGAGGAAUUAAAGUAGAUCUCUAUCAUGGUUUGGUCAAAAUUAAUUCAAAGGCUAGAACAUGUUAUCGAUUUACUUCAAUUUCCAACGAAUCAACAUGAUUUGGCCAAAAAUAGGUUUCGGUACCGAAACCAAAUGUUAGAAUUUAAACUUAUUAAAUCAUGUUAUUGAUUCGAAUGAAUCAUAGAUUAUUGACUAAUCAAGUCCAAUGAAUAAUUUUGUGCAAAGAAAUGGACCAAGAUUGGUUCAAAUCAUGUAUCUAAGGCAAUGUCCUUCACUAGAGCACGAAGAACAUUGCCUAGCCAACAAACCCAACAAACAUGCCCAAAAUGCAACCACUAUCAAACCUUCAAAACUGAUAUUUUUGGCUUCUAAAACAUGUUUUAUUUAUCCCAACAGGUUACACUAAUAUACACAAAUAUAUUUGAAUAAAAAAACACUAGCAAAAAACAUCAAAAAUACUAAAAUCAAGCUUAAGAUAUAUACCAAAUCCCGAAAGAAAAAUAACUUAACACAACAUAUAUGCUCAUGCAACAUGGAUUCAAAAUUAGCCUUUUGAACCCAUUUUGUUCAUGAACAUGCAUAGAAAAGCCAAGGAAAACACCCUUGUAUUAACAUGCAUAAGCUAGGUCAAAAAAACAAACUAAAACAAUAUUAUAUAUCAAAAACAAACUUAAAACAAUAAUAAACAAGUAUCAAAACAUCAAAAAACUUUAGAAAUAACAAGACUGAAUGGAAACACAACAACAAAGUGGUGAAUGCAAGAUCAUUUGUUAAGCAUUCUGAAUCUCUUUGUUAUGCUUGUAAACAUAAACAUAAAACAAAAAACAAAUAAAAAACAACUAAAUAAGGCCAUAAGGGCCUGUUUUUGGAUUAGAAAGGUAUCUAGGAUAACUAUUUCUGUUUUUUUUUCAGACCCUUUUCUUUUGAUUUUAAGGGGGUAUUUAUAGGUUUUUGGAAGGAUUUUGAAUCCAUUCUUGACCCUUUAUCUUAAGGGAAGGGUUGUGAACCCUUGAUAAGAACCCAUGAGAAGCCUUUGGUGUGAAGACAUGAAAAGAAAGCUGGUUUUUUACACAAUUGAGUUUCACCUUUGGAUGACUGAGUUAUCUAUUUUUGAGGUUUCGUCGGAGUCCUCUGUGACCACCUUAACUUGGUAAAGGAGAUGCAUACCUUUCAUUUGAAUCCAACCUUGCUCAAUUUGGAGAUCUGUAAGUCCAUAUUUAUUUGUUUGAAAUUGCCAACCCGAUUACCCAAAACAGUCGAAAACAAAGGUCUAGUCGACUAAACACCAUGUCGCUCACCUUCUCUUGUUUAAGUUUGAAAGACACAUCGUUUGGGUGAGAUUAUGGAUUUUAAUUUGGGAUUUGCAAUUUUUAAUUAAGUCUCUGUUCUUCUAAUUUCUUUUAAUUGCUUCUCUAAUUGCCUUUAAACUUUUAAUUUCUUGCAAUUUCACCACCGACAAACUCAACUGUCAGCCUUUAAGUUGGCCGUCUUUUUCAUUUUGAUUAUUGGUUCUGAAUUUGUGCAUUUUAACCCUCAAUUGACCAAACAACUUCUAAUUUCUUCAAUUUGGCCUCUGAUUUGGUUAAUUUCAGCCCUUACAUUCACACGCUUUUUUUCAAUUUGAUCCUUGGUUUUGUAUUUCUUUAAUCACGUCUCUAAUUUUCCAUCAAACUUCUAUAUUUAUGCAAUUAAGCCCUUGAUUUGACCAGAUUAACUCUUAAAAAUUUCAAUUCGACCCCAGACUUUAACUUCUUCCAAUUAAAGCCUAAAUUGACUAAAAAAAUAAUUUUUCUUGCAAUUAAGCCCUUAAUAAAUUCAAUAAAACCUUGAAAAAUUCUAAUUGAUCACUUAAACAUCCGUUUUGGAUUUCUCUCCUCAAAUUAAAUUUUCUUUGUCAAUAGGGCAUUCAUUAGUGGAAAAUACAUACACUGCCAAAUUUUUUAAUUUUGCAUAUUUGAUCCUCUUCAACCAAUCUUCGAUGAGGCAUUCCUUGACUGAGUUGAUAAGUGUGCUAUAAUUAAAAAAUACAUGAAUAUCUCAUAUGAGAGGAUGAUGAAGUUGUAAUUAGGCUGGAUGAUGGAGCUUCUUCAAGGUGGAGAAGGGUUCAACAUGACCUAGUUAUACGAAGUAGGUCACCUGUUGUGUCUUGGUUCUAUAUGUGAUAAUUAUUGGGAGAUUUAUUUUUUCUUCCUAAUUAUAAACUAAUAAAUACUUCUUUCAAGUCCAACAUCCAGACUAUGAUCAAAUUAUGAAGGCAAAGUAUCUUUUUGAGAAUCAAAUUAAGAAUUAUUAGUAGUUUUGCUUAGCUUAUUAUUUAAUCUCUACGGUUAUUGUUAUUAAGAAUUAUUGACAUUCAAAGUUUAUUAAAUCAUAAUUCUUUAUACAAUUUAACUAUAAUUUUAAGUUUUGUGAAAUCCUGAAUUUUUUUCAUACGCACCCAAACACCAUUUGCCUUUCUUUGCAAUGACUUCUGCCAUUCCAAUCUCUUUCUUCCAUUUUGCCUUGAGACUUCACUCCCACAAAAAAAGAUUCAAUAUUUAUCUAUCAAAACCAUAAUUCAAAUCAACAAUCAACCAAGUUUUGAAAAGAAAAUGUGAAUUGGACCAGUUAGGUAAUUAACUACGUGCAUUGUAAUUUUGCCAAAGAAGUACAAGUGUAGAAAGUUUCUUCAUCAUUUACGACGUCAUUGCUUUUACUUCUUCUGAAUGAGUAGUCCCAGUCGCCAAUUGUCGCCGCCGCCUCCAUGGUGGUGGUUGAUGGUGAGCAGGUUUUAUCACAAGAGGAGCAAAAAAGCGCGCAGUGUUUUCUUAAAAUUAAAACGAGGAGAGAAAUUAUAACCGUUUGGUCUGUGAAUUUUUCCUUGAUGACUAUUAUUCCGCAGGCCCAUUAGUUUCGUCAAAGAAACCCAAAAAUAGACGAAAGCCCACGAACAGUAGUAGCCUUUAAAAAAAAAUUAAAUAACCCUCAGGAUUGCUUCAUAUCAAUCAAAAUUUAGUUAUUUUUCGAAUGAUCUUUAUGAUACAUCCUUAUAUUAAUUUAAUUAAAAAAUAAAAUUUUCUUGAAUGUGAUUAAGUCCGAAUUGUUUUUCGGUUAUACAAAAAUAGUUUGUUUUUAUUUCAAGUUUGGAUAUCUUCAGUCAUGUUUAUUUCAUAAUUAAAUCAUCUUUCCCGAUAAAUCGCAGAUAAAUUAAUUUCUCUGAACUUUAAAUAUUUUAAUCACCAAAAGAUAACCAUAAUGUUGCAAAGAUUCCUUGACAAAGUGUAUGUCAAGAUAAAGUGUAACGUAAAUUGCUGGAAACAGAGCAUAUCUAUUGUGCUAUUGGUAUGAUCCUGAUUCUGCGACAGGAACUGCUAGAUUGUUUCAGCUUGCAUGUUAUAACUUCAGUGCCUGCCUGCUGCUUAUGUCAAGGUCAUUUCUCACUUACAAAUUAAAAUCUAAACGUUUUGAUUGUAUUAAGGUUCGUUUGUUCUGAAGUUAUCCUCUCAAAUCUCUUGAAUUUUGUUUUUCAGAGGAGGAAAUAUAUAUCUUAAACUUUGAUUCACCCCCUUCAGAUUGAUGGAAAAUGUCGAAAAAUUAGUUGCUUAAAUGUUGAUGAAAUAACUUUAAAUAUUAAUGAGUACUUUAAAUAUUAACUUUGAUCUACAUCUUAAACUUUGAUUCACCCCUUUCACAUGCCCUGAUGGACAGGAAAAAUUAUGAUCAUUAAUUAGGAACUUGAGUGUAUGCCUGCAGAAUUCAAGAAACAAUCCUAAUAUUGCAUGAUACUUCGUAAACAUACAGUAACCUUGUGAGCAUCUUAUUGAUUACAUUUAACUAGACAUAGUUUUUCUUUUCCCUGCCUUUUUCAGAGGAUUACAGUCUUAUUUAAUAUUCUCCAUACAAAUUGGAGAGUAUCCUCCACCACCAUUAUUCUACAGAGAAAACUUUUUGGCACUCUUUAGUUGAGAUUGAUGUCAUAUUUUGGCUGUUUAUUUGGAGAAAAGAGCCCCCAAUGUUUCUCAAGUUCAGGGUUUUUGUUACUCUCAUCAAACAUGGCAAAAAUAUAAGUUUCUAUAGGCUUUCCAGGCCUCUUUGGGGUUCCUUUCUUCACAUGUUGAACUAAGUUGUUGUUAUAAGUUCUUGCAUUAUCAACCGAUGUUCCUGUCCCUCCAGCCGUUGGCCAACCACUCUCUGAUACCACGAUUUCCAAAGAACCCCCUCCAGAUUUCUCCAAAGCAGCGUAAACAGUGUCAAGAAGGGCAUCGAAGAGGUUUUGGUAAUUCAGUGGUGGGUCAGAGACUAGUGGUGAUGGAGCUGUGAAAAGAGCAUAAUCAAGACGAAUGUCUCUUGUGUUAAGUGAGUAACUGAUGUAUGGAUACGAGUUAAGCAGUAAUGGAGCUUGGUUGUUCACUAAAAAGCGAAUGAUCGGAUCGAGAAGUGGUCUAUAGUCUCCCUUGAAAGAGCUUUUUGAGGGAGGGAAGGAACCAUCUGCUAUGACCCCAUUAUCAAUAGCGGUUGAAACUUUGAUACUUCCUAGUCCAGCUGAAUUGAGUGCGUUGCGAAUGUUUUGCAUGGCAGGGACUAGAAACUGUGCGAAUGAAUCUGAGGGCUUAACCUCAUUUCCUACCGCAAUGUAUCGAAACUUGACAUUGCCAAAAAUUUUUACAUUGCUUUGCACCCAUGCAUUUGCGUUGGCUUGACUGGAAGCAAUCCUUUGAAGAUCCGGAUUUGGAAGACCUAGCAUGAGCUCAAUGUUGGUGCCUCCAAGGGCUCGUAGAGCAUCUUGGUUUGGAUCAUAAAGUCGCAUUCUGCGAAUGCCCCUCUGGUUGUAGAGAGCUAUGACUUCUGAUGGUGGUGGUAAGUUACCAAGCAUUCCAUAGCAAACACCUAUCUGGGCACCUGUAUUGAAAUAUUGUGAUUAUUUAGUUAACCAUAGAUGUUGAGUUGACAGCUUUAGUAAAACUAUCAGAUAGCAUAAAAUGAACAUGAUUAUGAGUAUACCUGUUGUAUCUAGGCUAGCUAGUAGGAGCCCAAAGAGUAGCAUUAUGGAAAUCAUGGAAGGGCCUUUGCCAGCUAAAUUUGAUCUAGCCAUGCUUAAGGAAAUCACAAUAAACUAUGAAAGAGAGAUUGCAACUAUGUUUGCCAAACUCCCUUUCUUACCUUCCUCUUUAUAGAGAAAAUGUAUACACCUAGACUUGGUCUUGCUAAGAAUUUUCCCAUCCUUAAUGCCAAAUUCAUUAUAGUGUAGACUACUGUGGAACGUAUAUUUUCCACAAAUUGCCAAUGCUAUUGCUUGAACCAUUCAAUGCACAUCUAACAGCUCUUCAUCUGGGACCUUAUACAUAGCUUUGAAAAGUCUCAAGAGCUAUUAAUUAUCGUUUUGUGGCAGUCAGUUUCCUUUAAUAUAUAUCCAGGCAGACAAGUCGCAUCCUCUACGGCCUAAAUUUUUCACAACCACUACAAGUUGUUUCACAUAUCUGCAUCGUAUAAGAGCAUUUCUUAGGUAAUUAAUAAACGUUCAAGUUAAAAUUCACGUGUAAACUAGACAAUUUUCAUCCCUGCGCAGCACGGCAUUCUUUACUUAGUGUGAUUGUUUUAUGCUAGACAACACAGCACUAUAGAUGGUGUUAGGUUUGGAAUCAUUUGGAGCUUAUAAAAUCGAUACCGUUGUAAUCUAAGCCUUAAGACAGACGAAACAAAUUCUUGUAUAUUUUCUGCUGCUUGGCUCAUUUGAAGGUUUAUUCUUGCUGAGUUAUCAGCGACAGAAGCGUGUAAAAAUUCUGUGAUUCUAGCCGAAUUUUUACCCCAAAAAAAGGGUCUAGAAUUCAUAUUCUAGUUCCAAAUAGGAUAUUUAGUUUGUUCACAUCAAUUCGUGCUUCAUACCCCCUGUAUCAUAGCUGUCAUUUCCGAACCAAUUUUCCAUCCUUGUUUGACUACACCAGGAACAUGGUCACAUAGCAAGCCUCCAUGAAUUUUCAACAGCCCUCUCCUAGUGGGGUUAAUUAGUGCAUUUAUGGAUACCUAACUUAUAAUGGGCUUGACUGGAAACUUUUUGAACUUGGAUCGUUUUGUGGCGCAAAAUGAGGUGAUUCCUGUCCAUACAAGGGGCCGUUCCCUCUAAUAUCUUCCAAAUUUGCGGAUGUCAACUUCAGUGUGUGGAAAAAAGAAGAGGAAAAUGUCAUAAACCAACAAGAAUAUGGCAGUGCCGGUUUGUUUGAUUUGGAAAAAAAGUUUUUUUUUCUUUUAUUUUUUGCUUAUUUUUAGUCCUCCUACAAUCCUCUCUUGUACGUAUUGAGAACAUCUACCUCUCUACAGUACAAAAGAUUUAUCCCUCCUAAAAUCUUUAAGUGGUGAUGUCGUAGAUAUCACGGCGUUUUUUUCUUUAAAAAAAAAAAUAUUUAUCAUUUUAUUUUUAGAGAGAAUAAGUAUGAUUUAAAAAAACAUCAUCUAAUAUUAUGAUCAAUAAAAACUCUAACUGGUUAACCUAGAUUCUAUGACACUGGACUAAUUACACCAAAAAAAAAAAUAUCACAACUUAAACAUCCUACCUGAAAUAUGUUGCAUCAUUGGUUUUAUUUUAAAUUGCUAAGAAUUUAUUGUAUUAUAAUAUUGAUGGUUUGUAUAUAAUAUUCAUAACUUUAGUGUUAGUGAAUAAUAAGGUUCAGAAUAAUUUUCAAUUCUAGUGUGAAUAUUUUUAAAUCUACCAUUAGUGUAUAUUAAAAGUAUCUUUAACUUUAACAUUAGUAAAUAUGAAUGUUUCAGACUCUGGCAUUAUCAUGAACAUGUAAAUUUAAAUUUGAGUUGAAAUUUAUUUAUUUAUAUAUAUAUUAAUUUUUUUAAAAAAAAACUAUUUUAUUUGUUUUUAUUUUUCAAGACGGUGCCGUCUUAUAAGUACAUUGACCUUAAGCAUGGGUAAAUUUUUUUUUUUAUUUACAAAGAUAGGAUUGAGGGUUAUAUUAUUUUAAAAAUUUGGAUAUGUCAGGACGAUGAGUUUUUUAAUUUUAGUCAAGUUAUAAUGAGCUUAAUAAACUGGUUAAUAAGGUAUAACAAAUAUUUUUGAGGGUUUUUUUUUUUAAUUUUUUUUGUGAUAACACUAAUUUUUUUUUUUAAAUAUGCAAAAAGCAUUUUUUUUUUUAAUUUUAUGGAAACAAAAUGAUUCAAAGAGCUCAUGUUCCCUCCCAAUACAAAGAUAGAUCAUAUAAUCCCUGGUAGUUUAGAAUGGAGUUUUAAGUACUUUCGUCUAACCAAAGUGACAUCAAAUGCAGAGGAGCUCGGGGUUGGGGCGUCAGGUUGUUGACGCGUCGGUUAGAGAGAAGCUUCUGGUGUUUGCUGAAGUGUUGGUCACGGUGGGAACUCCUAGUGUUGUGGCAACAAAUGAUAUUGUGGUAGAGAAGGUUCAAAGACUGGCCAAGAAUGAGCUGCUUCUUCUUUUUUAUUUUUUACAAGGAUUUUAUUUUGGUUUUCCUCGUGAUUUUGUUUUUCUCCCUGCUAUGACAGUGGCCUUCCUUUUGCUUUUAUAGGGCCAAUCUGAAAUCUUUCCCACAAAAUCCGUCGCUUAUCUCCUAGGAUGGUGAUCUUGUGGAUGAAGAUAACUACAGCUCAAGUUUGUUCCACUUUUGAUGAGAAGAAAACACCAACAGUCCUGUAGUCUACGAUUUGGAUCGGAUUUAAUUUGAUUUGGUGGGAAGAUGGGGUCUAACCGAAGCCAUUUUGGUGGCUUCUUGGGCAGUUUUCCGUAGCUCCAGAGGAAGAAGAAAAUGAACAGUUACUGAAUAACGUAUCAUUCGGGUUCUUAGGUUAAAUUAGCUAUUUUUCAAUUUGCCUCCCUUGAAAUUUCGAAACCUUACAAUCAAGCCCAAGAUUGUCUUUAUCCUUUAGAAGUUUUUAAUUUCACCCUUGGAGUUAUGCAAUUGGACCCUUGGAUCUCUGCGCUACUGACAAUCAGUUCCCAACACUUCUGCCAUUCCAAUGUCUUUCUUCCAUUUUGCCUUGAGAUUUCACUCCCACAAAAAUAGAUUCAAUAUUUAUCUAUCAAAACCAUAAUUCAAAUCAACAAUCAAACAAGUUUUGAAAAGAAAAUGUGAAUUUGAUCGGUUGGUUAAUUAAAUACGUGAGUUGUAAUUUUGCCAAAGAAGUACAAGUGUAGAAAGUUUCUUCAUCAUUUACGUCAUCAGUUCUUUUACUUCUUCUGAUGAGAAGUCGCAGUCGCCUGCUGUCAUCGCCGCCUCCAUGGUGGUGGUUGUAGCGGUGGGUGAUGGUGAGCAGGUUUUAUUGCAAGAGGAACAAAAAGUGGCGCAGUGUUUUCUUAAAAUUAAAACGAGAGAAAUCAGAACCGCUUGGUCUGUGAUUUUUUCCUUAAUGAUUAUUAUUCCGCAGGCCCAUUAGUUUCGUCAAAGAAACCCAAAAAAAAAAAGAUGAAAGCCCCAUGAAUCAAUUAAAAUUUAGUUCUUUUUGGAAUGAUCUUCGUGAUACAUCCUUAUAUUAAUUUAAUUAUUUUAAAAAAUAAAUUUCUUGAAUGUGAUUAAGUCCGAAUUUUUUUGUGGAUAUAAAAAAAAAUAGUUUGUUUUUAUUUCAAGCUUGGAUAUCUUUAUUUCAUAAUUAAAUUAUCUUUCUCGUUAUAUCGCAGAUAAAUUAAUUUCUCUGAACAUGCUAUAUUUUAAUCACCAAAAGAUAACCAUAAUGUUGCAAAGAGUCUUUGACAAAGGGUAUCCAUUAAGAGGAAUAUUCUUGAUGUUCCAACCUUCUAUGCAUGUACGUAUGUCAACAUAAAGUGUAACGUAAAUUGCUGGGAAUUGAGCAUAUAUAUUGUGCUAUUGGUAUGAUCCUGAUCUGUGACAGGAAUUGCGCUAGAUUGUUUCAGCUUGCAUGUUAUAACUUCAGUGCCUCCUGCUGCUUAAGUCAGGGUCAUUUCUCACUUACAAAUUAAAAUCUAAACGUUUUGAUUGUAUUAAGGUUCAUUUGGUCUGAAGUUAUCCUUCAAAUCUCUUGAAUUUUGUUUUUCAGAGGAGAAAAUAUGUAUCUUAAACUUUGAUUCACCCCCUUCAGAUUGAUGGAAAUUGUCGAAAAAUUAGUUGCUUAAAUGUUGAUGAAAUAACUUUAAAUAUGAAUGAGUACUUUAAAUAUUAACUUUGAUCUAUAUCGUAAACUUUGAUUCACCCCUUCCACAUGCCCUGAUGGACAGGAAUAAUUAUGAUCAUUAAUUAGGACCUUGAGUGUAUGCCUGCAGAAUUCAAGAAACAAUCCUAAUAUUGCAUGAUACUUCGUAAACAUACAGUAACCUUGUGAGCAUCUUAUUGAUUACAUUUAACUAGACAUAGUUUUUCUUUUCCCUGCCUUUUUCAGUGGAUUACAGGCUUCUUAUUUAAUAUUCUCCAUACAAACUGGAGAGUAUCCUACACCACCAUUAUUCUACAGAGAAAACUUUUUGGCACUCUUCAGCGGAGAUUGAUGUUAUAUUUGGGCUGUUUAUUUGGAAGAAAGAGCCCCCAGUGUUUCUCAAGUUCAGGGUUUUUGUAAUUCUCAUCAAACAUGGAAAAAAUAUACGUUUCUAUGGGCUUUCCAGGCUUCUUUGGGCUUCCUCUCUUCACAUGUUGAACUAAGUUGUUGUUAUAAAUUCUUGCAUUAUCAACCGAUGUUCCUGUCCCUCCAGCCGUUGGCCAACCACUCUCUGAUACCACGAUAUCCAAAGAACCCCCUCCAGAUUUCUCCAAAGCAGCGUAAACAGUGUCAAGAAUGGCAUCGAAGAGGUUUUGGUAAUUCAGUGGUGGGUCAGAGACUAGUGAUGAUGGAGCUGUGAAAAGAGCAUAAUCAAGACGAAUGUCUUCUGAGUUACCGGUGUAACUUAAGUAUGGAUACAAGUUAACCAG